ACGGGCCGCACGGCCACCUGGUGGCGCGCAGGGUGCGGGACUCGCUGCCGCUCAGGCUCAUGUCCGCCGCGCGCGCCUCGCCCAAGACCGGGCUGGACAUGCCGGCCACCGCCUGGAGGAAGGCCUUCACGCGCGCCUACAAGGCCAUGGACAAGGACCUGCGCUCCCACCCCUCGCUCGACAGCUUCUGCAGCGGCAGCACCGCCGUCACCGUCCUCAAGCUCGUACGUCCGGACAUUCACAUUCACAUACUCUUCUGCGUCCCGUCCGAGCAGAAAUGUUCUGUUUCUGACCCCCUCUUUGUCCGUGCGCGUCGCGGUUUCUGCACGCAGGGCUCGGACCUUUACAUGGCCAACAUCGGGGACUCGCGCGCCGUCCUAGGCUCCAGAGACGCCGCCGCCGGCGGCAUGGCGGCCGUGCAGCUCACCGUUGACCUCAAGCCCGACGUCCCCAGUACGCCACUACACAAAUUCAAUUUAGCCCGUGCGUCAUUUCGUGCUGGUACUUUCUGUGUUAAUACCAGAUCACUGGUCUGCGAUGUCAGGCGAGGCGGAGCGGAUCAAGAAGUGCAGGGGCAGGGUGUUUGCGCUGCAGGACGAGCCGGAGGUGCCGAGGGUGUGGCUGCCGUUCGACGACGCGCCGGGCCUGGCCAUGGCGCGGGCGUUCGGGGACUUCUGCCUCAAGGACUACGGCGUCAUCUCGGUGCCGGAGUUCUUCCACUGGCCUCUCACGGACAAGGACCAGUUCGUCAUCCUUGCAUCCGACGGGGUAAUUACACACCUCUCGCAUUUCUCUGUCCUACUGUAUAUACAAGACAUGGUUGGUGGUCAUUCCUAUGCGCCCGUGCAACGGCAUAGAUAUCUGAGUCCGUUCCAGCAAAAUCUUGCCUCUUUCCUCUUGUCGGAGCUACUUAAAUUAGUUGCAGUGUAAUGUCAAUCUGUCACCCUUUUGCGUUCGCGACGCACUGAUUAGUCUCACAUGGCGGGCCUUCAACAUUCAAGGCGUAUGGUAGAAGCUCCAAGAACCUUAGGAAUGAUAGUAUACACGGACGAUCCACUCCUUUUGACUUCAAAAUGCUCUAGCUUUCGGGGUUGGUUGCGUAAACUGUCAUGGUGACAGGGGCGAUGGUAUUAGUUUCCGCCAUCUGUACCGUUGUGACUUGCUGCAUAAAUAACGAUUAGCCAGCGUAACACACUUCUUUGCUGCAUCGUCACCCACCUCUUGCCAUCGGCUGUACUUCAACUCUUAUAUCUUAUCCAAGUUCAGCUUGGAAGACUAAUUGGUUUAAUCGCUGUGGCGACAUCAUGAGCAGUUAGAAAACUGGGUGUAGCGUAGUGGCUGCUCAAUGCGUGAGGUAGAAUUGUUAUUCUUUUGAUCCAUCGCUUCUUUCCUUGUUAAGAUCUGAUCGAUGCAUCUGAAUAAGACUACCCACAGUGGGAGUAACAUAGGUAGUAACAUCAAUGCCAUUUAAAUAAAAAAAUUAUAUGACAACUAAUUAUUGAGGAGAGAGACAAAUUGAGUAACAUAGCUACUCCUUUGAGUAACAUCACACAUACUAUGAGUAACACCACNACUAAUUAUUGAGGAGAGAGACAAAUUGAGUAACAUAGCUACUCCUUUGAGUAACAUCACACAUACUAUGAGUAACACCACACAUAUCAUAUGACAAGAUGAGUCUAUAAACUAAUAAGUGAAAACAUCUAUGUUACCACCUUUAUGUUAUUACCCAUUAUGGAGGUAGUAACUUAGACUAGUAACAUAUGCAUGUUACUAAUCUAUGUUACUUCCCAUUAUGGGUAGUCUAAUGUCGAUUUCCAGCGGACAAGUUCGUACUCAUAAUACUACUAUUAAAAUUCUUAUGGUCCAAGGCUCCCUGCUUGAUUUUUUAGUUGUAAACUUGACGAUUGUCAAUCACUUAAAGAUGGAUAAUUGGCUCUACUCGUAAAUAUCGGGAAACUCCGUGUGCUUCAUUUUUGUGGUGUUAGGGGGCUGGCUUUGCUUGCUCUCUGUUGAUUCAACGAAAUUGAGGUCCAGGUGUAAGCACAUUUCUAUAAUUAACAUUACAUUUAACGGUGUACACAUCAACUUUGAAAGCGUUGCUGUGGAAUAAGUCGGGUUAGUCGUAGGUGUUUCUUCCAUAUCUUGUAAUGGUUCAUAUAUGAUUGCUUCAUUAUGUACUCUGCUUAAUACUCCUUCCAUCUCAUAAUAUAAGAACGUUUUUAACACUAGUAGUCUUAAAAACAUUCUUAUAUUAUGGAACGGAGGGAGUAAUUAAUAAGAACGCAUGUGUGCAUCACAAUGAUGCAGAAGCCAGAGGUUUCAAUCUCCUUUUGGAAAAAGGGCACCUAGUAACUCACAGAGGCCACCUUCUAAUGUGUCGUGACCCAUCAAAAUUUAGUGUGCACCAUGGACUGCCACUUUGGUUGAGGGAGUAGUAGUAGGGGUACUUCAUUGCAUAUCGCGUGGGGUUCUGUUGGACAACAUUUACUCUGGUUGUGAUUUUUCCUUGCUGUGUUCAGUGCAUAUGACGUUAGGCCUCUCCCAAUGCUCCAUCUUGUACAGGUGCUAAGGCUGACAUGUAAGCGAAAAAUCUGAUGUGGCAGGCUAAUUAAGAGGAGAGAGAUGAGUGUGGUAACUGCAGGAAGAAACAAUGCCAAACGCGUGAAUCUAGGCAAAACACUUAAAUGAAAGAAACCCACCAAUGCAUGAAAAACUUUAGUUGCUAAAUCAUUAAAUGAAGGAUGCUUAACAACAAGUUAAGCACGUAUGCAUUGGGGGCUUUAGUUGCUAAGUCCUUUAAUGUGCUUAACUCCUUAUCUUAACAGCGAUGCAUUGAAAUUAGCCUUAUGUUUAUUUUUCUAUGUCAAUUAUAGCGGUAAUGUGCAUGCUAUCUGGAGACAGUGUGCAUUUUGACGUUUGAUAAACUUACUCCCUCCGUCCGAAAAUACUUGUCCGAGAAAUGGAUGUAUCUAGAUGUAUUUUAAUUCUAGAUACAUCCAUUUCUAUCAUUUUUGUGACAAGUAAUUCCGGACGGAGGGAGUACAUGAUAGCAAACCUAUGACUGCAUCAAUCAAUGCAGAGGCCGGAUAUUAUUCUCCUUUUUUAAGAGAAAAGAAAAUCUUGAUAGCAAUCUCACCAUGUUUUCUUAAUCUUGAAGACGCCUUUUGCUGACCCUCCCCCCCCCCCCUCUCUUUUUAUGCACUGAGAAGGGAUGUUAGUGUCAAAUAUAAACAAUGUAUGGUACCAAAAGCAAGAUGUUGUCUUCUGUUCACCUUUGUAAGCGUUGCUUAAUGAUUGUAGUUUGCGUGGAAGAGUUGUCAAUUCUACCGAUGGAAUGUUCACAAAAAAUGAUAUUUUAACAAAGAGAUGAUCAUGUCGAUCAUCAGUCAUUGUCUUCCCAAUUGUUAUACACAGUUGCUCACUGCUCCUUGUGAUAUUUGGUCUACUUAAUUAUCAAUGCCUUUUAGAGUUUUCCAUUUGUGUCCUGUCAUCUUCUCUUGCGCGGUGCAUCUCCUUUGUUUCUUUGUAGUUGUACUUCAGGAAGAUAUACAAGCUGAACACAUACUUGAUUGGCUUUAUAUAUAUGUCUGACUAGAUUGUACCGAUGGGAAUCAUGCAGGUGUGGGAUGUCCUGAGCAACCAAGAGGCUGUUGACAUAGUGUCCUCGUCCCCAAGUCGUUCAAAGGCGGCAAGGACUCUUGUCGAGGCAGCUAAUCGUGAAUGGAAAACCAAGUACCCAACAUCCCGGACCGACGAUUGCGCGGUCGUUUGCUUAUAUUUGGAUGGCAAAAUGGACCACGAGCGUGAUUCGACCGCGUCUAUGGAUAACAUCAGCAUCGAGGAUGAUUCGGUCGCAGAUCCUAACGAAGUGCAGGAGCAACAGGAGCCCGCCUUAACGCGCAAUUUUACGGUUAGGACAGUCCCGGGGAGCGCUCAAGAGAAAGCCUUGGCGGGCGCAGACGCCAAGAUCUCCGGUGGAGCCGAUGAUCACAACUGGUCGGGCCUCGACGGAGUGACACGGGUGAACUCGCUCGUUCAGCUUCCCAGGUUCUCCGAGGAGAAGGCGGUCAGUUGACGACCUCCUCCCCCCAUUUUUCCUUGNNNNNNNNNNNNNNNNNNNNNNNNNNNNNNNNNNNNNNNNNNNNNNNNNNNNNNNNNNNNNNNNNNNNNNNNNNNNNNNNNNNNNNNNNNNNNNNNNNNNAUACAUACGGUGCAUACAUGCAUUCAACUUGUACAACACAUACAUCCGUACAUCACUAGCACACGGUACAUGGCAUGUCCCAUCGGUAUACCUUCGACGCGUGCGAAUCGGAGGGGUUCGGUCGAAGCGGACGUCGUGGUCGUCGUGGAAGUAGUCGUUCACGCGCCGGUAGUUGAAGUAGUGGUACACGGUCUCGUCGACGAUAGUCGUUUGCUCGGCGUCGUGGUUCACGGUCUUCGGCGUCGGUAGUCGUUCACGAAUCCGUAGAUGUCCGGGGUCGUCGGGGCGUCUUGGUACUUGUGGCGAACUUGUCGGUUCCACGGCGGAGGGGAACGGCGCACGCUGCAACGCAUGCGGCACCACAGCAAAUGCAUCGGCGCUGGUAGACAACGGCAAGCAGCACGGCAACCAAGCCACAACCUACGGCAACUAGUUAAGCAGCUAGUAACCACAGGCAAGCGGUGCAGCAGAGCAAAACGGCAGUCUAGCACAGCAACUAGCACUAGCAUGCAGCAACCUACCACUAGCAGCAAUGCAAACUAGCAGCAACAAAGCAAGCUACAACAGCAAUCGCACGGCAGCGGCGCAAGCACGGCAACAACAGCAUGCCACCAGCAGCAAUGGCGACAGCUACAGCAGCGGCGCGCCGGCAUCUCCAAGCAACAGCGUUCAACAGCAACAGCGGCAAGCAGGCACACCUAAGGCAACAGAACAGCAAAACGUAGCAACAGCGACAGAGCAACACGGCAGCACCGCAACCUACCAGCAGACAGGCUAGCGGCAACGGCAGGCAAGGCACGGCUCAGGACAGGGCGCUCGUACCCGGCCGUUCGCUGCUGCAUCCCGGUGAUGCCGGGGCGACCGGAGGAAGACGACGGGAGGCUGCUGGAGGGGCUGGCGACGAGGAGGCGACGGGGCAACGCGGGGAACGCAGCUCGGCGGGGCUCCAUGGGGAGGAGGAGGCCGGCCACCAGCAGAUGGUGCAGGCGGGCGCGGCGGCCAGCGCGGGGAGACGAGGAGAUUGGCGCAGCGGCGGAGAGCGCAGGCAGCGGGGCGGCCGAAGGCAAGCAUGGAGGCGACGGGGAGGCGUGGGGCGCUAGUGGCGCGCGGGGGAAAGGAGGCGCGGUGAGGAGGGGCCGACGGCAGGGGCUCGGGGCUAGGGCGGUGCUGGGGGAAGGGGACGCGCGCACGGGAGGCCAGAGCGGCGGCGCAGAGACCGGCGAGGCGGAGGGAACUGGCCGGUCAUGGCGUGGAGGGCACUGGGAGGAGGAGCGGGGAUAACGAGGGGAGGAGGUGGGUGGUGACGGCGCGAGGAGGGGGGCGAGACGCAGGGGAGAACGGGCUAGGUCACGGGGGAAGCUGGGCCUUGGGCCGGCUUCCCUCCCCCUAUUUGGUCUUUUGCUGUUUUAGCAACUUUUAAAAACAGAAAGUUUAAAAUAAAGGAAGGCCUUUAACAAAAAAAAGAAUAAAUGCUUUUGACCUCCUUUGAAAAAAAUAAAAAUUCCCAACUAUAAGAAAUAGUUGGGCAUUUUAAAAGAAAUAAUAUAAACCCCCUUUUUUAAGAAUUAAAAUUAACAUCUUUUGAAGAAUAAAAUAGACCUCUUUUAUUUAAAGAAUAAAAUAAAAGUGCUUUAAAAGAGAAAAGANNNNNNNNNNNNNNNNNNNNNNNNNNNNNNNNNNNNNNNNNNNNNNNNNNNNNNNNNNNNNNNNNNNNNNNNNNNNNNNNNNNNNNNNNNNNNNNNNNNNAGGAAUUAAUAAAUUCCAGAAAAUAGACGUAUAUUCAAACGCCCGUAACUUUUAUUCCGUUAGUCGGAUCGGAACGUGUAGUAUAUGGUUUUCGUGUAGUUUGGCGUGUAGAUUACGUUAUUGCAACUUUCAUAUUUGUUUGACGUCAUUUAGCGUGCCUAACGCCUUGUUUAGCGUGCUGUCUCGGUAGGUUUAUUGCCCUAGUUAUUUUUCGCACAUGUCCGGAUUGCCCGAACCCCGUAGAUAAAAUGUUCAUGUUUUAGGAACCAUUUUUCCAUGUAUUUUAGCGCGGUCAUUGGUAUUUUGCGCGUAGGGAUUGCCGCUAGUUUAUCUUCCCGUGUAUAGGUUAUUAUCUCGCAUUUACGUGUGGCGUUAUUUUGUUGUUGCAACCCCACAUAUUUUAUAUGUUUCCGGGGUAGAAAAAUCCAUGGGAUUUUUCUGUGCAAUUAGUUUUAGCUUUUGAGCAAGUUAGUUUGCGCAAUAUUUUGUCAUGUUGCCCUCUUGUUUAUUUCGUAGGAUUUAUUCCGUGCUCCGUUUGAUUAAGUUGUCAACUAGGGAGUUGUUCUUGGAUGUUUAGUCUAGCCCCUGGUAUUUUUGGUUGCAAUAGAAAAGCAUGUUUAGGUGUGGUUUGAUUUCCCUCAAGUUGCUAGAAAUAGUGCUGAUUUGGAGGUGCUGAAAUAUUUCUAAGUCUGGAAUCUGUUAUGUUUUGUUGCUGUCUUGUCUUGCUUACAACUUCUGAUCUGUAGCUCUUUUGAGGUUGGUCCAAUGGAGUUAGUUGUAGCCCUUGUGUUUCUCUAGCAUGCUGUGAGUUUUCAUGACAUUUGGAGUCCUGUAGCUAUUGGUUUUGCUGCUGUCAAUAUGCCUUCAGAUCGAAAACUGCAGCUUCAUAAACUUCUAUUUUCACUAAGUCUGAAAUAGUGUGUGGGAAGCCAUUUUGUGACUUGUUUUCCUAGUGUUCCUUGCUGCCAUGCUAGUUGUUGUUACUUGUUUGUUGUAGUGCUUCUUGCCCUCUUUCGUGUCAUGCCUUGGUUAAUUACAUUUGAGUUGUGUAGCUCGUAGUUGUGGGGUGUAGAAAGUGCUAUGCGGCUGAUUUUGGCAGAUUGUAGUGAUUUCUCGUUUUGCUCGUAGAUGUUGAACCGUAGCUCCGAUUUGAUCGUGUCCUACAUGAAACUUGCUUAGAAUCUCGUGUAGUUUCAUUUUAUCUUGCUGUUUGUAUGUUUUGAAGUGCUCGUUACCGUCGUUGCACACAUAUUGCAUUCAUGCCAUCAUAUCUUGCGGUGUCCGUAUCUUUUGAACCGUAGCUCCGUUGGAGACGUUCUCUAUGUGUAAAUUGCUUGUAACGACGCGUAGAAUCACGUGAACCUAUUUUUUUUCUGUUUAACAACUAAUUAAAUGUGUUAGUUCAGAUCUGGACAGAAUUGUAAAUUAACAUGUGAGGUCGUUUCGGAGGUGCUAUAUGACAUUUCCGACCUCAUUUAAAAUGCCUAGAUAGAUAGUUUAAUUGCGCUUCACCUCUUGCCAUGUUUAACCACAUUUAAUAUUGCUGUGUAUCUAAUCGGGAUAGAACUAAACAAUUAAACGUGGAGUUUCGUCAAUAUGCAACUCAUUGCAUAUUGAACUUCACUUAAUGUGUAGUGAUUGUUUGUCGUGAAUUGUCAUGCAGUGACUUGCAUGUAUUCAGCUGCUCAUGCAUCAUAUGUGUUGUGCAUCGUGUUGUGAAUAUCGUGUGUUGAUUUGUGUUUCCGGUUUGCUUCGUCUCGAUAGAGUUCCGCAAGCGUGCCGGAUUGUGAGGACCCGUUCGACUACGUCGGUUCGUCUGCUUCACGGAGGCAUUCUUCUUCGAAUCAGGAUCUCAGGCAAGAUGACCAUUUCCCCAGAUACCAUUACUAUCAUUGCCAUGCUAGUUUUAUCGCUUCUAUCGAUUAUGUCCCGUUGCCUACCACAUGUUAAAUAUCAGCCUCUUAACCAUGCCAUGGAAACCUUCAACCUGUUCAACCUAGCAAACCACUGAUUGGCUAUGUUACCGCUUACUUAACCCUGUGUUAGCAUUGCUAGUUGCAGGUGCAUUGCUUCCAUGUGAAAACAUGGGUUCCUUGUUAUCAUAUUAAUGCUAUUUAAUUUGAUGCACCUAUAUACUUGGUAAAAGGUGGAAGGCUCGGCCUUUCUAGCCUGGUGUUUUGUUCCACCUUUGCCCCCUUAGUUUCGGCUACCGGUGUUAUGUUCCAUAAUUUGAGCGCUCCUAACAUGAUCGGGGUUGUUAUGGGGACCCCCUUGAUAAUUCGUUUUAGAUUAAAGCUGGUCUCGCAAGGCCCAACAUUGGUACUACAUUUGCCCAACAUAAUAAUUCUGUUAAACUGAAAUGCAUCGGGAGUUAGCGCUACCCGAGGAGUAAUUCUACAUAAUACAGGGAGGGCCAGUGCUGAUGGUGCUGGUCCAAAACAGAGACCGUGCGGGGCCAACCCGGGGCAACUCGGGAGAUUUCUAUCAGGCCACCGUACGCUUCGCUUAUCCGUCGUGUCCUGAGAACGAGAUACGCGGCUCCUAUCGGGAUCAUCGACACGCCGGUCGGCCUUGCUGGAUUAGUUUUACCUUUGACGAGAUAUCUUGUGCAUCGGGAUUCCGGUGAUGCUUUGGGUAAUCUCAGAGUUGAGGUUUUCCACUAGGGAAUCCGACGAGAUUGCGAGCUUCGUGAUUGAGGAUUUCAAUGGGGCUUGUGGUGAUUUGUGAUGGACUAGUUGGAGCACCCCUGCAGGGUUAAAUCUUUCGGAAAGCCGUGCCUGCGGUUAUGUGGCAACGUGGAAACUUUGUUUAACACUGGUUCUAGAUAACUUGAAGUUAACUUAAUUAAAACUUGCCAAUUGUGUGAGUAACCGUGACUGUCUCUUUUGUGAGCCCCUGCUCCGAUCGAGACACGGUGGGGUUAUGUCUGACGUAGGUAGGUUUUCAGGAUCAUUCAUUUGAUCAUCUGUAGUUCACAUCCGCUAUGCGUAGAUCUUCCCCCCUCUUAUUUCCUGUACUCGUAAGUUAGCCACCAAAUAUAUGCUUAGUCGCUGCUGCAACCUCACCACUUGACCAUACCUCACCCAUUAAGCUUUGCUAGUCUUGAUACCUUUGGAAAUGAGAUUGCCGAGUCCCCUGUGGCUCACAGAUUACUACAACACCAGUUGCAGGUACAGGUAAAGGUUACUUGACGCGAGCGCGUUGAUUGUUCAUUUGGAGUUGCUUCUUCUUCAUCUUCUUCAUCGAUCUAGGAUGGGUUCCACGCCGGCAGCCUGGGAUAGCAAGGAUGGACUUCGUUCUUCUUUUCUCGUUUGUUUUCGUCCGUAGUUGGACCCUGCUCUUACUCUUGAUGAUUAUGUAAUAUACUAAUGUGACUCUGAUGUAGCUUGUGGUGAGUGUAAGCCAAUUCUAUAUAUACACCUCUUCUUUUCAGUACAUGUACUUGUAACGAUAUCCAUUCUUGCGACACGACGAGAUGCGCUUCUAUCCCUGACAAGGCCUUCGUGCCAAAUUGAGGAUAGGGUCGCAUCUUGGGCAUGACAUUGUUCUUCAAGGAUUCCUUUCUUACCUGGUGGCGAAGCCUACUCUUAAGGAUCAAAUCAUAGCUGGCCAGAAGCGUGAUAAGGGUAUAUCACGGAUCAAGGGGAAUAUUAUUAGAGGAAACACUAAGGAAUUCUCCAUGAAUGAUGAAGAUGUUGUGUUCUUCCGGAACCGUCUAGUGGUUCCUAAGAAUCCACACCUAAGGCAGUUAAUCCUUAAGGAGGCUCAUGAUUAUCCUCUCACCAUUCAUCCUGGUAGUACUAAGAUGUAUGAGGAUCUAUGCCAGAGGUUUUGGUAGACUAGGAUGAAGAGAGAAAUUGCUGAGUUCGUUGUUAACUGUGACAUUUGUCGUCGAGUUAAGGCGGAACAUCAGAGGCCUGCUGGCACCCUUCAACCUUUAGCUAUUCCUGAAUGGAAAUGGGAUAAAGUCAGUAUGGAUUUCAUCACCGGAUUUCCCAAGACCAAGAAAGGAAAUAAUGCUAUCUUUGUGGUCAUUGACCGUCUUCCCAAAGUAGCUCAUUUUCUUCCAGUUCGUGAAAGUAUAACAGCUAGCCAGCUAGCAGAGUUAUAUCUCUCUCGAAUAGUGUCUCUUCAUGGUGUUCCUCUGGAGAUUAACUCAGACCAUGGAAGUAUCUUUACUUCUCGCUUCUGGGAGAGUUUUCAAAAUGCCAUGGGGACUCACUUAUCCUUUAGUACCGCUUUCCAUCCUCAAUCAAGUGGUCAAGUAGAAAGGGUGAAUCAAAUCCUAGAAGAUAUGCUCUGAGCUUGUGUUAUAUCAUUCGGUAUGAAUUGGGAGAAGUGCCUUCCAUUUGCCGAAUUUUCUAAUAACAACAGUUACCAAUCAAGCUUGGGCAAAGCUCCUUUUGAAGUUCUCUAUGGACGAAGAUGUCGAACACCUCUUAAUUGGUCAGAAACCGGAGAGAGGCAACUCUUUGGUCCGGAUAUGAUCUAGGAUGCAGAAGAGCAAGUUCGCAUUAUUCGUGAAAAGUUGAAAACAGCCCAGUCUCAUCAAAAGAGCCAAUAUGAUCGUCAUCAUAAGGCUGUGACCUUUGAAGUUGAUGAGAAGGCUUACCUUCGGGUUACACCUUUGAAUGGAACCCAUCGUUUCGGUAUCAAGGGAAAGUUGGCUCCUCGUUAUAUCAUUCCUUUUCGCAUUCUUGCCAAACAAGGAGAAGUUGCCUACCAAUUGGAACUUCCUCCACAUCUUUCCAAGGUUCAUGAUGUAUUCCACGUCUCGCAACUCAGGCGUUGAUUUUCGGAUCCUAUCCGUGAAGUGGACCACGAAACGCUUGAUCUCCAAGAUAACCUUUCAUAUCGAGAAUACCCUGUGCGUAUUCCUGGUCAAGCUGAGCGUACCACUCGACGUUGAAACCUUAAGUUUCUUAAAGUUCAAUGGUCAAAUCAUUCUGAAAAAUAAGCAACAUGGGAAAGAGAGGAUCGUCUCCGACUUAAGUAUCCCGCGCUAUUCCCGACAACUUCCAAAUCUCGGGACGAGAUUCUUUUGAGUGGGGGUGAGUUGUCACAUCCCUGAUCCCUAUUAGGGUUAGCAAGUUGUGCUCAUGUAUUCUUUCCUUGCAUCCAAGAAAACAAAAUGAAAUCCAAAAUCAAAGCAAAGAAAACCAAAGCAAAACUCUAGUCACUCUUUAUUCAUGAAAUAUUUCAACAAGUGCCAAAUCAAUGAACCCAAAAUGGCCAUUAGAAAAGUUCAUAUUUUCUGUUAAAUAUUGAAAACAAGAUAUCAGUGAUGAAACAUAUUUUCAAAAUACUUUUGGCAUUUUAAAUUUAAGUUAAAAGCUACUGAAAUCAAUUAUAUAUUUGAUUUCAAAUAUUUCAAAGUUUCCAAAAAUGUUGAAAACUUUAUAUGUGGUUGGAAAUAUUCCAACUAACACUCGAGUAUCAUUCAAACUAUUUUAGGAAUAGUUUGGAGCCAAAAAUAAAACAAAACAAAGUCAGUAAGUAAAUAACAGAAACAGAAAAGAAAGAAAUAAGAAAAACCUUAACUUUCGCUCACCUGAGGCCUAGCCCACCUCGACUCCUGCCGUCUUCCUUGUGCGAGUCGGCUCGAGGAGGUGGCCGCCGCUCCCUGCUGCGCGGCCACACACCAGCGUGCGUGCCUGGCCGCCGCAUCGCGCCGGCAUGAAGGGGAUAAGCUCCCCGAAGGCCUCCCCUUGCUCAUCCCCUCUCCAUUCGCCCCAUGCUCUCUCCCCCUCUCGGCCGCCAUGACCGCGAGCUCAAGCUCGAGCUAGCAGUCGCUCCAGCCUCUCUUCCUCUCUCCUGAUCCGCGCAACAGCUCCACCGAAGCUCCCUGAAGCUCCUAAGCAAGUCGCUCGACGCCGAGAAGCUCUGAAACACCGUGACGCCUUCAUCAUCCUCCUCAGGUCACCGGAGCUCACCACCGUUGUUAUGCCUCCUCAGGCCAUCCUCGAGCUCACUUUCGUCGCCUCUGCACCCCCUGUGAGCUCAGGGUUCUUUCCCCCUCAUUUCCCCCUUCGAUUCCGACCUCUAGGCCCCGAUUCCACCAGAGCCCGACGAGAUCCGCCGCGGGACCUCGUCGCCGGUAGCCCUCCGGUGAUCGGCUGGUCAUUCUGAGGCCACCAAUGGCUUCAGCGCGUUGCGUAGGUGUUGUAGGUGCCUAGCCCCGCGCGUGUUGAGCCCCGUAGCACUGACCCCGAUGAUUCUCGAGCUUCGGCCGCCGCCGAGCUCGUCGCCAGCGUCAUCUCCGGCCAUUUCAACGCCUGCUGCAUGCAAAAAUGGAACCGCGGGUGAAGUGUCGUUCUUGUGGUGCCCUCCGAGUGAAGUUUGGUCGCUGGAAUGGAAAUCCUGAGCCUAGCGCCAUCUCUGUGGUUGCCGGAGGCUCAUCGCCAGUGAGAUCCACGUCGCCGCCGGUGGAUCUGACUCCCCUGAGUCACUAGCAAGUGGGGCCAGCCCCCAGGCUAAUUAGGAUUAGAAAAAUAAAAAGAGAGAUUAUUUUAAAACACUAAUCAGACACUGACAUGUGGGUCCAACCCUGUUAAUUAGCUAAUUAAGCUAAACUUAAACCAAAAACAGGCCAGAGUCACUUACCAGUGGGUCCCACUGGUCAGGUUUGACUUUGAACGGCCAGAUUGACCUGCUGAUGUCAUGCUGAUGCAAUAAAAUCUUUUUCUGUUUAAAAACAAUUCCAGAAUAAGUUCAAAACUUUGGAAAUUAUAGAAAAUUGAAUAUAACUCCAAAUUUGACAAAUAAUAUAUGUAAAAUGAUUAGAAAAAUUCAAGGAAUCUAAUGGUGCUAUUUUCAUGCAUGAAAAACAAAGUUAUGAAACAGCAUCAGGUCAAAUAAAUUAAAAGAAUUUGAUAAAUUAUAAUUCAAAUGAUAUUUGAAUUAUGAUUUCAAAUCAAGAUCACCCAAAAGGUUCUGUUAGUCAUCUCAAACCAUGCUACAUUGCAUUUCAUGCAUCAUUUUGUUGCAUACGAUUGAUAUUGAUUGAUUGUUGUUAUUCCGGUGGGCUCCGCCCCUGUGGAUACAUCUGAUUAUCCGACUGACGGAUAUCACCCCUCUGCUGAGCAACAAGGCAAGCAACCAUUUUGAUCAUCCCGAUAAAUCCCAUGUUCUCGCUCCUGCUCUUACUUAUUGCAUUAGGUUAAAAUGCUUUCAAUGCUUUUACCACGUUAGUUGAACCCACUUCCAUUGCAUGACUUGUUCUUGUCACAGUAAAUAGCUGAACCUUGCAACCUAGCAUACCUGGUAGAUGCUUGAGCCCUGAUGUGCCUUAUCCUGCUAUGCAUGCUAUGCUUGGAGUUGUGUAUGGUCUGUCAUCUGGAUGAUGAACAGAAUCGUGAGAAUGUGUUCAGUUGGUAAAGGUUGUGCAUUGAACUUGAUUUGGUAAAGGUACCGGUGAAAGGCUAUGUAGGAGUACAUGGCGGGUUGUUUCAUUGGAACCGUCCUUAGGAACUGAGUUCCGUGUAUGUAAUCCAAGUCAAGAUACUACCACAUGCUGGGCCCUGAAAUAUGACCCCGCUCGACUUAUUAUUCGCAUAGUACUCGGUCUAGGAGUUGCAAGUAGUUUCUGGUGUUUAUAGUCAUGCUGGAGGUCGUGCGUGGCGCUGACCUUAGAGGUGGGCUAUGAUGCGGUAGGCAGUGGUGGGGUGUACCAAGUGGCACCCGGAUGGUGGGCUUGGGAACCCUGCGCACAUCGUUUGGGGCCAUGGCGGAAACAUCGGCCAGACUUCCGUGCGGGUUACCCUCAGAUAGGCGAUAGACCUGGACUAAGUAUUAGCAUGGUUAACGGUCGUGGCUGACUCCCUCGUUGGGCUUCCGCUUGAAGGUUCCCGAGGUGCAUGACGUGCACAUAGCGAUAAGUGGCGAGAGCGUGUGUGAAGAAGUACACCCCUGCAGGGUUAUGAUCUAUUCGAAUAGCCGCGUCCGCGGAUAUGGACCACUUGGAAACAUAUGUUGUUCAUAGAUAACUAUAAUGGCUACUCAUAAAAUUGUCAAGAUAAGUGUGAGUGUCGUGGAUGGCAUUUCUGUAGGGAGACGGAAUGAUUCCACGAUGGAGUAUUGUUGUGGUGUUAGUGGACUACUGUGCGAGAAAACAUAGUUGUCAAAACUAUUUAAAAUGCAAGUUGUCUAGCCAAGAGUCAAAUUUUGGCUUUCUGCAUGAAAUCCCACAACUCCCUAUUGAUACAUUGCAUGUGUAGAUAGAUUAUCCUAAAGUCUUGCUGAGUACUUUUGUACUCACGUUUGCUUAAUAAAUUGUUGCAGAGGUUGUUAAUGACCCUAAUGGAGGGUUCUACCUAGACGUUGACGACGACGAGUAGCUGGUGUCCCAGCUACGAUCUGGCCCUAGGCUGGGUCUGUAGAUAGUCAGGCCAUGUGCCUUUAUCUUUCCAUCUGUCUGUACUUAGACAAUUUUAAUCUUCCGCUGGCUUGUAAGACUUGUGUGUAUGACUUGUGAUGCUGGGUCGUGAGACCCCUAUUUGUGUAAUAUUAUGUGUGAGGCUCUUCCGAGCCUUCUAAAUAAAGUUUGUAUGUUUAUGGUUAUGUUGUGAUGCCAUCGAUGUAUCUAUACUUAUCGGUAUGCCAUGCAUACGUGUGUUGUACUUGAUAUGUAUGGGGUUCGAAUACCUAGUCGUAUGCCUUAGUAGCACUCCUUAUGUGGAAAUGCCCCUUUGUGAUUCCAUCGAGCCAUAGUAGUUCGCUACUGCUCCGCACACAUUGGUUGACCGGCAUGUGUCCUUCGUAGCUGCUGUGUCUGUCCCUUUGGGAAAUGUCACACAUAUGUAAUGGAGUCCUUGUAGCUUGCUACGACUCGUCUACAUUCGCUGAUGACCGACACCUGUUUUGCUGGGUCAUGUAUGCAUGUUCUUGUAUGGAACUGCCGCUUGAGUUUGUGACUAGACAUGUCGAUCCGGGUUCUUUGACAUUGGAUUGCUAGCGACACAAUUGCAUACGCGAGUCAAAAGGCGCAAACGGUCCCGGCUACGGUAAGGCUGCAGCCGUGGGGAUAACCGUGCAUGAGACCGCAAAGAGAUGAGGUGUGUUACAGGCUGGAUUCCUAUGGCUUAGGAUCGGGGUCCCGACAGCGUUGGUAUCAGAGCCUGACUGAUUGUAGGAUUACUAAGCCAAACUGGUCGAAGUUGAGUCUAGAAUUGCUUUAGUUAUAUAGAAUGGAAUUUUUUGUGGAAGGUAACGUAAGAUUCUUGCUUCUCUUCUUUGAUUACUCUAUUCUGGUCAUCCUCGUCUUUUCUGCGGGGAUUAAGGACUAGGUUACUUAUCUUUCUCUUAGGCUCGUGUUUUUUCUGAUCGGUAGAUUAUAGGACAACGAGUCGAGACUUACUUCGAGUUUCUCUUAUUUCAAGGAAAAGAAAGUCAGUUUUGAUGAUCAUGGAAUUGAACUUGGUAGUUGAGUGGUUAUGCUAUCCUAUCUUUGUGGGAUGUCUCAUAAUUGUUUUAAGUCAUUUACAGCCGUUAUGCUGCCCAAAUUCUGUCUUCAGAGCUCUAAUGCUUUUUGCAUUACUCUCUAUUUUCAGAUGCCUGGCCGUCCUUCUCGUCAGUUGGACCGUCUGACUAGGUGCAUUGAUGUGCCGGGUCACACGGCCAUGCUAGUCCGGAUGAUGUCAGUAGCCGGUUACCGCUGGUACCCAGAGUACAUAGUGGAGGAGCAGUACCGGGAUUUCAAUCAAAGUCAGUUUCUGUGCACUGUUAGGGUAUUCCCAGAUUACCCUGGAGCUGAGGAGCCGAUCCAUUGGUCUUAUGGAUUGGGGGUUACUGUUGACAUGGCAGUACAAGAUGCUGCCUAUUCAAUGCUUACCAUCAUGAGGGCUAGACAUGCACUGCUGCAUAAUUCAGAUUUCUGAUAUGUUCCUGCCUCUCAGCCAGGAGAAGAAGGAUACCUCAGUGGGGUCUACUUUGAUUCCUCCAUGGAGGAUCCGCUGCUGCAGUCCACUGCUAAGAUGCUAGGGAAUAGAGACAAGGAUGCUCGUGCCCUUCGUAUGGAGCUCCAUGCUACACGUGCCCGUCUGCGGACGGCUUUGACACAGCUGGCACCUGUAGCCCAGACAGGGUAUGGAGAUAUGGAGAUGCUGAACCCUGUUAGGACCCAUCUUCCGGCUCAUGUUGACUGGCCUGCUAUAGGAGGAGUCACCACUCUUCGGGGACCUCUACUACCACCAGUCAGGGGACCAAGGCCACACCCGUGCCCUUACGGUUCCCAAGGGUCUCAGGCUGGAGUAUUUCCUGAUCCGCAGGUUGAGCUCCCAGGUCAUGGAGGCAACCUUUAUGAGAUGUUCUAUGCAGAUGCCUGAACCCGUGAGUGGAAGGAUAGUAUGGUAGUAGUUAUACUUCCACAGUCCUGUGUGUCUUGUGGAGUAUGCUUAUGUCGUGAGAUGAAUUCGGGAGGCAUAGAUAAAUAUUGUAUAGGAAGCUUGGAAAGCCUCUGAUGAGUUGUGUCAUCUUUUCAGUAGUUUGCUCUUUGGUUAAGGUUGUCCUGAACUAUGUAAUGGUGUGUAUGACCCAUGGUGUAUAUAUAGCAGUUUCUUGUUACCAUGUUGUUCGGAUGUUCAUUUCCGCAUUCCAUGUGUUUAGUGCAUUCUUAAUCCAUAGUUAGUAUUGAUGCUGAUAUUAGUGCAUUCCAUGUGAGUUUAUUUGUCAGGAUGGUGUUCACCAGGUUGAACCAUGCCAAUCUCACCUCCUCAUAUUUGCUAGCCUCUUCGGUACCGUGCAUCGCCCGUUCUCACCUUGAUGAUCGGUGCAACUUUCGCAGGUGCAUCCAAAACCCGUGACAUGACAUGCUCUGUUGCACAUAAGCCUUUUUAUAUCCUCCUCAACACAUCCACCUACCUAUCAUGACUAGUAAGUUCAUCAUCAUAAUAUAUUGCCAUGCAAAUACCAUCGUCACUUCACAUGACUAGUAAGUUCAUCAUCAUAAUGUUUUGCAUGAUCAUAUAGAGUUGACAUAGUAUUUAUGGCAAAGACACCGUUCAUCAUAUGUCAUGCUAGAUCUUUGCAAAUCUUGGUACACUCCCAGAGGCAUUCAUCCAUUGUCAUAUCGUCCUAUGAGUUUUCAUAUUGAGUUCCAAGUAAAUAAAACUGUGAUGAUCAUCAUUAUUAGAGCAUUGUUUCAGUGAGAAAAUAAAAAUGGGGGAGGCCAAAUGAGUCCACCAUAAAAAAUGUGAAAAAAUGAGAAUAGAAAAAAAUGAAUGAGAGAAAAAGGGAGAAGGUACUUUGCUACUAUCCUUUAUCACACUAGUGCCUCAAAGUGGCACCUUGUUCUUCAUAUAGAGAGUCUCAUGUUAUAUCAUUCAUAUGCUAGUGGGAAUCACUUUUUCAUAAACUCGACUUGUAUAUUCCGAUGAUGGGCUUCCUCAAAUGCCCGAGGUCUUCAUGAGAAAGCAAGUUGGAUGCACACACCACUUAGCUUGAGUGGAGCUUUCAUACAGUUAUAGUUCUAGUGCAUCAUUUGCAUGGCAAUCCCUACUCCUUGCAUCAAUAUCUAUUGAUGGGCAUAUCCAUAGCGCGUUGGUAUCCCUAGUUGAUGUGAGACAAUCUUCUCCACUUGUUACCCCUUUGAAACCUACCACGACAUUCUAUUCCACCUAUAUGUUAUGUCCAUUGGUUCACGCUCAUGUAUUCCAUGAAGAAUAAAAAGAUGAUGCAUAUUGAAAAAGUAUGAUCCAAUUGCUUGAGUUGGACACCAUGGUUCUUGACAUUUGUAUUGAUGUGGUGAAGAUGGAGCCAUGCCUUGCUAAUAUAAUAAUAUAAAUGGGGUAAAACAAUCUUUGAGGAUGGUAUACUUUGAAAGAUUAAUGAUUUUUCUUCUUAUACCUAUAAGUAUUGUUGUCUUAAUAUUUGUUAAUUCAUUGUUUCUUAAUGAGAAUACAUGAAUAAGGUUACAUUAUGGAUAACAUAUCACAUCAAUUUUUUUGUUUUUAUCAUUUACCCACUCGAGGACGAGCAUGAAUUAAGCUUAGGGAUGCUUGAUACGUCUCCAACGUAUCUAUAAUUGUUGAUUGUUCUAUGUUGAUGUAUUAUCAUUUUAGAAUACUUUUGGGGUAUUUAUUUACCAAUUCAUAUUAUUUUUGAGCACUAAACUAUUGACCUAGUGCCCAAUUCCUGUUCAUGUUUUCCCCAUGUUUUUCACUUUUAAGGUUUUCCAUACCAAAUGAUUUCCAAUUGACCUAAAACUUUUUGGUAAAAUUUUGUCAACAAAAAGAAGACCAACAAGCAUUGGAGGAAGGCUGGGGCCACACGAGGUCUUGAUACAUCUCCAACAUAUUUAUGAUCAUGCUGUUAUAUUAUCAUUCUUGGAUAUUUCAUAAUCAAUUUAUAGCAACUUUAUAUCAUUUUUUGGGACUAACCUAUUGACAUAGUACCUAGUGCGAGUUACUGUUUUUUGCUUGUUUUUUUACUUCGUAAAAAAUCAAUACCAGAUGUAGUCCAAAUGCCAUAAAACAUUUUGGAGAUUUUUUUGGACCAGAAGGAAACUUGAGGACCAAGGAUGUCAACCAGGGGAGUGCUAGGGGGCCCACUAGGCACCAGGGUGCAGUGGGCAACUAGCAUGCCCUGGUGGGUAGUGGGGGCCUCGGGCACCUCCUCCACCGCCUUUGAGCUCUAUAAAUAUCCAAGUACUCCAGAAAGCCUAGGGGAGCCGACGAAAAAUCGUUUCAGCCACUGCAAGUUUCAGAAGCAACGAGAUCCAAUCUAGAGCUCGUUCCGGAGGGGAACACGGUCAUGGAGGGGUUCAUCAUCCUCAUUGGUACUCCUCUGAUGAUCCAUGAGUAGUUCAUAUCAGACCUACGGGUCCAUAGGCAGUAGCUAGAUGACUUUCUCUCUCGUUUUUCUUCUCAAUACAAUGAUCUCUUGGAGAUCUAUUUGAUGUAGCUCUAUCUUUUGCGGUGUGUUUGUUGGGAUCCGAUGAACUACGAGUUUAUGAUCAUAUCUAUGAAAUUAUAUCUACGCUUGAUUAAUAUAGCCUCGUAUUUCUUCUCCGAUAUUUGGGUUUUGUUUGGCCAACCUGAUGUUUUUAUCUUGCAAUGGGAAGAGGUACUUUGUGAUGGGUCCGAUCUUGCGGAGCUCAAUCUCAGUGACGGAAAGAGACAUGACACACAUGCAUCAUUGCUAUUAAGGGUAAAACGACGGGGUAUAUUACUACAUGAAUAGAUCUUGUCUACAUCACGUCAUCAUUCUUAAAGUCUUACUCCGUUUCUCCAUGAACUUAAUACACUCGAUGCAUGCUGGACAGCGACCGAUAUGUGGAGUAAUAGUUGGAGUAAUAGUAGUAGAUGCAGGCAGGAGCGGUCUACUUGUCUUGGACGUGAUGCCUAUAUACAUGAUCAUUGUCUUGGACAUCGUCAUAAUUAUUCGCUCUUCUAUCAAUUGGCCAACAGUAAUUUGUCUACCCACCAUUUGCUAUUUUCUCGAGAGAAGCCACUAGUGAAACCUACGGCCCCUCGGUCUAUUUUACAUCAUCUAUUUGCAAGAUCUAUUUUAUUAUUCAUGUUUCCAUUUUGUUUGCUCUUUUAUUUUUAGAUCUAUAUUAUCCAAAAACCCAAAAAUACCUUGCUGCAUUGUAUUUACCAUUACUUUGUUUGCAUCUAUCAAUUUUUUUUAACGCUUUAUUUUACCCACGAGGGAUUGACAACUCCUACACAUGUUGGGUUGCAAGGAUUUGUUAUUUUUGUGAGGGUACUACUUACAUAGUCUUGUGGAUCUUCCUACUAGAUUGAUACCUUGGGUUCAUGACUCAGGGAAAUACUUGCCGUCGCUGUGCUACAUCACCCUUUAAGCUAUGAGGGAAAUCAACGCAAUCAGUGAGGAGUCAAGAUUUUUGGGCCCGUUGCCGUGGAGGAUCAAGUCAAGACCUAUCAGGUUCCCACACAUAAACUCCCAUGUCAUUGCAAUUACAUUAUUUGCCAUUUACCUCUCGUUUUCCUCUCCCUCACUUCACAAAAACAUUUGCCUUUUUAUUUGCUUCUUUCCAUUUGCCAUUUUCUUGCCGGAUCUCUUGCUUGUUUGCGUUCUUGUUUGCGUAGUCACGAUGACUCAAGAAAACACUAAGUUGCGUGAUUUUUCCAAUACCAAUAAUAAUGAUUUUAUUAGCACUCCGAUUGCUCCUCCCGCCACUAUUGCGGAGUCUUGUGAUAUUUAUGCUGCUUUGUUGAAUCUUGUUAUGAAAGAUAAAUUUUCCAGUACUCCUAAUGAGGAUGCUGCGUCCCAUCUAAACACUUUAAUAGAAUUGUGUGAUAUGAAAAAUAAGAAAGAUGUGGACACUGAUAUUGUUAAACUGAAAUUAUUUCCAUGCUCUUUGCGUGAUUGUGCUAAAAUUUUGUUUUAUUCUUUGCCACGCAAUAGUAUCAAUUCUUGGAACAAGUGCAAAGAUGCUUUUAUCACGAAAUAUUUUCCUCCUGCGAAGAUUAUUUCUCUUAGAAAUCAGAUUAUGAAUUUUAAACAAGUUGAGCAUGUGCAUGUUGCCCAAUCUUGGGAACGAACGAAAUUGAUGAUAAAAAAUUGCCCAACUCAUGGUUUGAAUUUGUGGAUGUUCAUUCAAUUUUUUUAUGCGGGAUUGAAUUUUGUUUCUAGAAAUAUUUUAGAUUACACCACGGGUGGUACAUUUAUGGAAAUUACUUUGGGUGAUUCUACUAAAUUUCUUGAUAAUAUUAUGGCUAAUUAUUCAUAAUGGCAUACUGAAAGAGCUCCUACUAGUAAAAAAGUUAAUUCUAUUGAAGAAAUAGAUGCUUUGAGUGAUAAAGUUGAUGCUCUUAUGAAAUUGGUUGCUAGUAAAUAUGCUCCUAUCGAUCCUAAUGAUUUGCCUUUGUCUACUUUUAUUGAUAAAAAUAAUGACCCCGUAUAUGUGAAUUUUGUCUCGCGAAACAACUUUAAUAAUAAUGCUUAUAUGGGUAAUUUUAAUCCUAGGCCAUAUCCUCGAAAUUCUUCAAAUAAUUAAGGUAGUUUCUAUGGUAAUUCUCAUAAUAAUAUUGCUAGGAUUCCCUCUCACCUUGAGAAUAAUAUUAAGGAAUUUAUCAAUGCGCAAAAAUAUUUCAAUAAUACAAUAGAAGAAAAGUAGAAUAAGGUUGAUGAUAUGUCUAGAAGCAUUGAUAGAAUUUUGCGUGAUGUAGAAAAUCUCAAGAAUAAUUUUUUCCUAAGGUUGAUAUUAAUGAAUCCGUUAAAGCUUUAUAUUUUUCUAUUGAAGAAAGUACGAAAAGAAACACUAUGCUUUGAGCUAAAAGAGAUUUUUUAGAAAGAGCGUUUCCUGAUUGCUUUCAUAAAAAUGAUGAAGACAUUAAAAUGAUUGGUGUUUCUUCUAUUGCUUCCUUGUUUAGUAAUGUUAAAACUAAUGAAGGAACUAAAGAAUAGUCAACUUUAUAUAGAAGGCGUUCCCAUGAUUUAGAGAGUGAAAAUCUUGUUGAAAAAAUGAUAAAAGUGGGAUUGAAGAGGUUAAAACUUUAGCUAGUGAUGCUCCAACUAUUUUGGAUUACAAAGACUUUAUUUUGGAUAGUUGCUCUUUGAUUGAGUGUAUUUCUAUGUUGCAAUCUAUGAUAAAUUCACCCAAUGCCUACUAAUAAAAUAAAGCUUUCACUAAACAUAUUUCGAAAACGGUAAUAAAAUCUUUGGAAGAAAAGUUAGAACUAGAGAUUUCAAUUCUUAGAAAUUAUAUGUUGAAUGGGAACCCACCAUUAAGAUCAAUAUUAAAUUUUUUGAGUUCUAUACUUUAUGUGAUUUGGGUGCUAGUGUUUCCAUAAUUCCAGAAUCUCUUUGUGAUGUGCUUGGUCUUACCAAUGUUGAAGAAUGUUCUCUCAAUUUGCACAUGGAAGAUUCUACUAUUAAAAAUCCUAUGAGAAGAAUUAAUGAUGUUCUUAUUCUUACAAAUAAAAAUUAUGUUCCCAUAGAUUUUAUUGUUCUUUAUAUUGAUUACAAUCCGUCUUGUCCAAUAAUUCUUGAUAGACCGUUUUUGCGUAUUAUAGAGGUCGUGAUUGAUAUGAAAGAUGGAGAUAUUAAAUUUCAGUUUCCACUAAGAAAGGGUAUGGAACAAUUCCCUAUAACUAAUAUUAAAUUACCAUAUGAAUCAGUCAUGAGGGAAACCUAUGGAUCAAUCACUUAAUAUGACAAUACUUGAAUCUAUGCUUUAUGCCUAGGUAGGGGCGUAAAACGAUACCGCUUGUUGGGAGACAACCUGAUGAAUAAAAUUUAUUUUUCACUUUUGCUUUAUGUUCUUGAGUGUUUGCACAAUUAUGAUACUAUUAUGAUUGUGUUUUUUAUGUUUUAGUUAGUGUUUAUGACAAGUAAAGCCUUUAGGAGCAUGUUGGGUGAUAGUUGCUUAGAUCUUGUUGGAAAAUAGAAACUUUUGCGUCUAGUUGAUGAAAUUAUAAAAAUUACAGAAGUGAUGAAAGUGUCUUAAUUUUUGAUACAAGAUUUUUAUACAAAUUUCCUACGUUUAGCUAAUGUUCCAGAAUUUUGCAGUUACAGAAGUAUGAGUAAAAUUCGAGUCCUUAUAGACCGUUCUGUUUUUUAUGGAUGUUGUUUCCUUUGCGUUGUGUGCUUAUUUUAUUGGAGUGGUAUAAGCCAUGGUAAAGUUAGAAUACAAUAGGUAUAAUGAAAAAAACAAAAUUGAAAUGGGUUUUCAACAGUACCUAAAGUAAAUAUUGGUGUUCUUAUACUAAUGAAUCUCACAAAAGUUUUGUUGAGUAUUGUGGUGAUUGAAGUUUUCAUGUUUUGGGUGAGAUCAUGAUGGAUGAAGGAAUAAGGAGUGAUAAAAGCCUAAGCUUGGGAAUGCACCAUGGAACCCCAUGGUACUAUCCAAAGAGUACCAAGCAACUAAGCUUGGGGAUGCCCCGGAAGGCAUCCCCUCUUUCUUCUAACAACCAUCGGUAAUUUUACUUGGAGCUAUAUUUUUAUUUGUCACAUAUUAUGAGUUUGCUUGGAUCGUCUUGUAUUAUGUGAGUCUUUUUUUAUUUCCUUGUUGGUUUUUCAUAAUAAACCUUUCCAUAUACACACCUAUUUUAGAGAACCAAAUUAUGCUAUGAUUUGUUAGAAUCGCUCUUUAUGCUUCACUUCAAUUUAUUAGAGCCAUGGAAUAGCUCUAGUGCUUCACUUAUAUCUUUUUGAGCACGGUGGUGCUAUUAUUUUGUAGAAAUUUUCUCUCAUGCUUCACUUGAAUUAUUUUGAGAGUUAUUAGAAAUUUUGAAUAAAUACUCUCUUGCAUCACUUAUAUUAUUUUGAGAGCUAAAUUUUUUAAAGACACUUGUGCUCUCUUUCUUCACUUAUAUUCCCUCCGUUCCUAAAUGUAAGACCUUCUGGAGAUUUUCAAAAUGAACUAGAUACCGAUGUAUAUGGAUUUGUUUUAGAGUAUACAUUCACUCAUUUUGUUUCGUAUGUAGUCCAUAGUAGAAUUUUGAAAAGGUCUUAUAUUUAGGAACAGAGGGAGUAUUUGUUUGAGAGCUUGUUAUUUGCAAUGACAAUUUUCUUUAAAUGAAAUUAUUCCCAAAGUGAUAGAUAUCCAGGGGAGAUAUAAUAAAAACUUUCAAGAAGAUCAUUGGAUGUUAAACUUGAUUCUUCGCAAUAGUUUUGCGAUAUGAAUAUAGUGAUAUGUGAGUUAUGUUGAUGAGUAAUUAUGCUUUAGUAAGAAUAUUGGUGUUAAGGUUUGUGAUUCGCUAUGCAUGCAAAUGAAGUCAAUAAUUAUGCUAUGAAAUUACAUCCUACUUGUGUUGCAUUAUUCAGUGUUAGUUAUGUUUAAUGUCCGCUUAUGAUGGCUUUCAUUCCUUGGUUGGGCGCUUCUCAAUCUAUUUGCUGGCCUUCACUUGUACUAAGCGGGAAAACUGUUUCUCCAUCUAAAUCCUAAACCCAAAGUUUUGCCAAAUGAGUCCAUCAUACCUACCUAUAUGUGCUACUUCAACGCCAUUCUAAGUAAAUUUGCAAGUGCCAAAUCUAAUGUUCAAAAUAAAUUUAUGUUCUAUGUGUCUGUACUGCUCAUGAAGCGGCGAGGGGUGGCCGGUAUCUUCCAUGCUAAAUAGGUUAUUCUCAAGAUGAGUGUUUAUGCACUUGUCAUUGCAUGAGUGUAUGGUGGUAAUAGGGAUGACCAGUCCCAAAAUGCAAAGAAGAUUUAUUUUAUGUUGUCAAAUAAAAAUUCCUUUGAAAGUGUUGGUAUGGACGGUACCCUUGGAUGUGGCUAUUGUGGAGUGUGAAAUAAUUGUGGAAAAAGGAAAACUUUAUUUUCAGUUUGGGAACCGCCUAUAAUUUGUUUAGCAUGGAAGAUAUUGGGAACUCUUAGUCAUUUUCGUUGACAUGAAAAGCAUACCACCCAAAAUAUUUUAUCUCUAUUUUUUCUGCUUUGAGGUCUAGCACAACUAUGAAUCUCUUCUUCCCUCUACGAAGGGCCUAUCUAUUUACUUUAUGCUAUUUUUUUGUUUGAAUUUGAGUCUCCAACUUCUCUUAUAAAGCACCAACUCAGGAACACUAUUAUCAUACUUGAGCAUUGGAUGUAGCUAAUAUUUGGGUGUGUUGCAUGAAUGGAUCAAUGAUGGAGCAUGAUGGGCUAGGGAUAGCAUUCUUUAGCAUUGAUAUUUUGAAAGACUUGGUUGCUUGUUUAUAUGGUUGAGUAUGGAAGUUUUCAUAUCAAAUUAUAGACUUUUUUUUGAAGGAAAACUGUAAGGGAAACCCCCCACAACGAGUUUUUUUUGAAAUAAUAAGAACCUAAAUUCGCGCCCGUGGGGACUUGAACUUGGGUGGCUGGGUUGUACAACCACUCCACUAGCCAAGUGAGCUAGGCUCACUUCCUCAAAUUAUAGACUAUUGCUUUGCAUCAUCUACAAGUCCAUAUUUUGAAAGAAUGUGAUGAAUAUGUUAGGCAACAUUCCACAUCGAAAGUUCUGUUUUCAUCAUUUACCUACUCGAGGACGAGCAGGAAAUAAGCUUGGGGAUGCUGAUACGUCUGCAACGCAUCUAUUAUUUUUGAUUGUUCCAUGUUGUUAUAUUAUCAUUCUUGGAUAUUUUAUAAUCAUUUUGUAGCAACUUUAUAUCAUUUUUUUGGACUAACCCAUUGUCUAGUGCCCAGUGCCAGUUGCUGUUUUUGCUUGUUUUUUCCUUCACAAAAAAUCAAUACGAGAUGAAAUCCAAAUGCCACAAAACUUUUUGGAGAUUUUUUUGAACCAGAAGGAAACUUGAGGACCAAGGAUGCCAACUAGGGGAGCGGCGAUGGUUCCCCGAGUGGCACUCCCCCACCACCAAGAGAGAGAGAGAGGUUCUCCCCCUUGUGCUUCCUCCUGCAUGGCCCCCGUGAGUGGGGAGAGGUUCUCUGUGACACCCUGGUAGUUAAGCAACAGUGAUCCCAUGCUAAUGAUGCCAUGUCGUCAUGUUUUAUUAAGCCAAAAUGCCACUUGAUAACAAUCAAAGACAAAAUAAAAUUAAAAUUUAAAAUAAGGUGAACUAAAUUAUUUCUUCAAACAUAAAAACAAAAAUGUUUCUUAUAUUGCGAUUAAUCCAUAGUUAAUUUUAAUGGAGAAACCAACAUUUUAUAAUAUGUGUAAAUGCCCCAAGUUAAAUAAAACAAAUGCCAAACAAUAAUUUGAAUGCCCUUUUUAAAUCCUACAAAUUUCCAAACCAAUUUAAAUAAAUGUCAAACUUUUUGUGGCAGUGUCUAAAAAUUGUAAUAUACAUAAUGGACCCAGUGCCAUAUGUUUUUACAAAAAAUUGUUGUUACAAAAGUAGUUAGAACUGAAACAGAUAAAAGAAAAAGCAAAAUGAAUAGAAAACAAAACUAAAACAGAAAAAUAGAAAGAACCACCCCCACUGGCCCAGCCCAGCGGGCCACUAGGCCGGCCCGACCAGCCCAGUCGGCCCCAGACCCUUCCUCCCCUCUCGCUACAAGGGGCCACUCCCACCGACACCCCUGUCGCCCCAAGCCCCCACCUCUCUCCCCCCUGCUCCUGAUCUAGAUCGUAUCGGGGCCUCUCCCUCCACUCCGGCGACACGGCCCUUCGCCGGCCCCUAGUUGGCCCCCGCCGGCCAUCACCUCACGAGAAAUCGCCGUCGCCCCCCUCGCCAGCCUCCUCACCCCGAACCGGGCCCUCCCCCGGCGGCUGCCCACCCCACCUCGACCGAACUCGACCCUGCACCGUCCGGCAUCCUCGCUGGGCCACCACGACGCCGGCGUGCCCGGACGCCUUCCCCGCUGGCCACCUCUCCCCUUGUGACACCCUCGGUUUAAUCGUACGCUAAUCAUACACGCAAAUGCGUACGAUCAAACCCAAGGACUCACGGGAAGAUAUCACAACACAACACUAGACACAAAUAAAACAAUAUCAACUUCAUAUUACAAGCCAGGGGCCGCGAGGGCUAGAAUACGGAAGCUCGAUAAACACACGAGUCAGUGGAAGCAACAAUAUUUGAGUACAGACAUAAAACAUGGGGUGCCUUAGAUAAGGCUCGCACAAAAGAUAUAAUGAUCGAACGAGGCGAGGCCUCAUGUCUGGGAACCUCUAAACUACUCCUGAUCAUCAGCGGCCUCCACGUAGUAGUAGGCACCGUCAGGGUAGCAGUCGUCGUCGGCGGGGACCUCCAUCUCCUGGACUCCAUCAUUUGGUCACCGCACGGAUCCAAGGGGGCAAAGGGGGAGCAAAGCAGCGGUGAGUACUCAUCCAAAGUACUCGCAAGUCUUACAUCAGAAUUAUUCUAAGUAUGCAUCAGUAUGAAAGAAGGGGGGAGUUUAUAUGUGGACUGAAUGCAGGAAUGCGAGAAUAGAGAGUGAAGGCCUAGUCCUAUCGACGACUAGCAUCUUCAGGGUCUUGCAGCAAUAGACGAGAGUAGAACAUGGGGGUAACACAAAUAAUAGUCAUAUUGUUGCAGCAAUACUAAAGUGAGGUCACACCCAGAGAUCCUCCCUCGACUCCCUCCAAGGAAGCAAUCCCGAGGCAACUACUUCCAGUUAAUUAUAGUUGCCUCGGGAUUGUAGUUGUAUAAGACCCCGAGGCAACUACUUCCAUUUAAUCCCGAGGCAAUUGUAGUUGUAUAAGAUCAGGGCACAACUCCAAGUCGUCCUGUAACCGUGGACACGGCUAUUCGAAUAGUUAAUUUUCAUCCCUGCAGGGGUGCACCAGAUGUCCCGACGCGCUCGAUAACACUCUAGCCGGACAUACUUUUCUGGGUCCUGCCCGUCCUCGGAAUAUCGACACGUCGCAGCCCCACCUAAGACUAAUCAGAGAGGCCAGCCCGCCGGUGUAAAUCCUAAGCGCAAAGGGUUCAUGGGCCUAGUUCCCCUCCGUGCUCCUGCACGAUGCGAGGGCGGCUCACAUCAGUCCUAGCAUCCCUUAAUCACAAGCGUGAUGCAUCUCGGGACCACUCGGGCACGCGCCACUAUGUUGCUGACGUCUGAAAAGCUUUGGCUGAUACCGUGGCGCUGAGUACCCAUAAUUCUUCCCAUGCAGACGGUUAGUGCGAAAAGGUCUCCGACCAACCCAGUUCAAAUACCCAAAUACAUUAACAUUUUAAUUAGGCCAUCGACAAAAUCUCGCGGGAAUCCACCCAUCUUACAAACUAAUCACCAAUGAUCCCAGUAACAUGGUCGAGUAACUGUGUGGUUGUAACAUCGGGGGGAAUCCGAGUUAUCACCCUCGUUGGAUUCUGAACGAUGUAUCCGUCAAGGUGGGCUUAGAGGAAUCACCCUCGGGGGUCCCACACUUGAGGGGUUGCAUGACAGCGGCAUCAUCGGGAAUGGUGAAAGAGGAAUCACCCUCGAUAACCACGACCGACUAGCUAUACUACAGAGGUAUCAUUAGGAGUACGUAGCGAGGUGUCAACCUCGGUACCCGAUAUUAUCUCUGUAGAGUCGUACAACUAAGGGGGGUGUAUGUGCUGUGUCGGGUCUGGCUCGUCGAUUAGGGAUCGAGAUUUGAAAACAAGUGGGGCAACUGGACUACGGGGUCAGAGGGGAUGACUGCUCCACCUAUACUAAGCAGAUUUAAAGUACAGUGCUGAAAGUAGCAGUUCAUCAAAAAUGGGCUAUGCAUCACAUAUAGGAGCUAACUACAACAGUAGCAAAAUACUAAUGCAAGCAGUAGGAAGAAAGACAUAGGCGAUAUAGGAAUGAUCGGGGGGGGGGGUUUGCUUGCCUUGCUGCUCUGCGGCAAAGGACUGAUCGGCAGGGUCGUAGAUGUACCCGGCAGCAGCGUUAGUCUCGGGGUCUACCGGUAAGAAGAGGGGGAAGAAACAAUAAAUAAUAGCAACGGUGCAACACAAUGCAUGACAUGGCAAGAUGCAGGCUGGACAUGAGCUAACGCAGCAACAUCCGUCAUAGACGGGUCGGAAGAAUAUCUGACGAUAUUUUCCGGGUCUCGGGCUACUACCGGUCAAACUGGAAACGAUGGAAAUGUUCCAUGUUUGCUAUGCUAGAGACGCGUGACAGACGAAUGGACCGUGUAUCCGGGUUCGUCUCGUUCUGUUGAUCAACUUUCAUGUUGAAAAUAUUUUGAUCUGACUUACGGAUUAUUUUAUAUUAAUUUUUGAAUUUUUAUUCAAAUAAUUAGUAAUUAAAAACAGGUUUCAAUAAUUUAAUUAAAAGAAAAUUCGAUAUCAGCAUGAUGUCAUGCUGACAUCAGCAGUUGACUGAUCAACUGACUAGUGGGUCUCGUGCGUCAUAGACACACCUUUUUAAUUAGGAUUAAAUAGUAAUUAAUCACAUUAAAUUAGUGGGGGGCCCACCUGUCAUACUCUAAUUAUUCUAAUUACCUAAUCAAUUAAUUAACUAACUAAUUAAUUAAUAUAUCAUUUUUAUAUUUUAAUUUUCACUUUUCUUAAAAGAGGUUGUGGGGCCUCCCUAUCAUGGACAGCGGGGUGAGUUGGCCCCACCGGUCAGUGGCUUUAGGCCACAUACCCAUAUUUACGCAAAUAAAACAUCACGUAUUUCUCCACAUACCUACAUACAUAAAUACAUACAUAUGUGCAUCUCAUACAUACAAAAUACGUACGACAUUUAUACAUACAUACAUACGCCAUACAUCAUUUAUUUUUAUUUCUUUUUUCUUAUCUCACAACUCCAACCUUUGUGUUAAGAGAGACUCUCAACCUCACAGAGAGAGAGGAACGUCUCCAACAUCGCCUACACGACCCUAACUUCGCCGGAUCGGAGCGCGGUUUGCCGGAACGGAACCGGGACGACGCGAGGAAAGAGAUGGUGGGAGGAGCCCGGAAAGGGGCUCAGCGACGUUGACGAGAGGGCCCGGUGAAGCCGUAGUUCUCGGGAGGCGGAGGAGACGGCGAGGAGGAGGACGAGGCGGUGACGGUGGUGACGUGGUUCCGGUGAGGAUGGUCGCCGGAGAGGCCUCCUGGAGGGGGCCGACCGGCGUGACAAGGAGGGGGGGCCUCCCUGCCCGAUCCCUCCUGGACCGAGCGGGAGGAAGGUUGGCGCGACGGGGAAAGGCUCGGCCGGCGGAAGGUUGCAGGGGAGGCCGGCGGCAGGGGCUCGGCCAGCGAGAUGGGGUGGUGUUCGGUGUGGAUCAGGGGGUCGGCCGGUGGGAUGGGAGGCCGACGGUGUGCAGGGGAGGGCCGGUCGACCCGGGGUUGGGGUUCACGGUGGGUUGGGGAUCUGGGCCAAUGGAGGGACCUGGGGGUCGGCCGAUGGGGAUCGGGAUGGGUGAGAGAGGCAGGCUCGUGAGGGAGAGGAGCCGAGGGAGAGGGCUCGGUCGUGGGGUUCCUCUCGUGGGGGAGACCGAGACGUUAGGUGGGGGGGCUGCGUCGAUGGGUGAGGCGAGCCGGGGUAGGUGGGGUUGGUGCGGGGGGCCGAUAGGCCGAGGGUGGUGCUGGCGGCGGCGAGGGAACGGGGGGGGGGGGGGGGGGGGGGGGGGGGGGGGGGGGGGGGGGGGGGGGGGGGGGGGGGGGGGGGGGGGGGGGGGGGGGGGGGGGGGGGGGGGGGGGGGGGGGGGGGGGGGGGGGGGGGGGGGGGGGGGGGGGGGGGGGGGGGGGGGGGGGGGGGGGGGGGGGGGGGGGGGGGGGGGGGGGGGGGGGGGGGGGGGGGGGGGGGGGGGGGGGGGGGGGGGGGGGGGGGGGGGGGGGGGGGGGGGGGGGGGGGGGGGGGGGGGGGGGGGGGGGGGGGGGGGGGGGGGGGGGGGGGGGGGGGGGGGGGGGGGGGGGGGGGGGGGGGGGGGGGGGGGGGGGGGGGGGGGGGGGGGGGGGGGGGGGGGGGGGGGGGGGGGGGGGGGGGGGGGGGGGGGGGGGGGGGGGGGGGGGGGGGGGGGGGGGGGGGGGGGGGGGGGGGGGGGGCGAUGGGAAUUAGGGUUUGGCCCUCCCUAGGGGGCUUUAUACCCGAGGGAUGGUGGGCCGAAUAGGGGGGGCUUGGUAGUCCCAAUUCGGCUAGGGGGGUUCUUUUCCUUUUUUUAUUUCUUAUUAUUAUUUAUUUUUACUAUUGUUUUUAUUAUUUAAUUUUAUUUACUUUCUUUUACAAUUUGGUAUAUAUAUUUUUAAUAAUUUAUUUNUGAUAUUAUAAUCCGCUAGGGAAUUUUUAUAACUCCCCGACGUUUUUAUUUCAACAAUAUAAAAUCUUUUCUCGUCCGACUUUAAUUUUAAGUUUCAAACUUUGAUUCGGUUUCAACCAACACGAGAUCAUUGAUAUAAUUAAUGAUGACGUGGCAUCAUUAGCGCGGGAUCACUGUCGCUUAAUUACAAUCAUCACUGUAGCAAAAGUUGAGGAUGUCACACCCCUUCACCACCGGAUCCUCCCCGAGCCUGUGCUCCAUCUACAACGCAAGUGAGCCUCGGGCUCCUCCCCCUCCACUCCCCUUCACCUCACUCCUACCAACACGGCCCCGUCCAUCGCUCGCCGUCGACAACGACCCCAUGCAGCGCGGCCCUGCAGCACCUCCGGCGGCUGCGCGCCCUCCUACACACGCACGCCGACCCCCUCCCCCCGGCCACCGCGCUUGCCUCCCAGAUCACACGCGCCCGCCCGCCCAUGCCUAGCUCCGUAUGGCGCUCUCCUAGCCAUCGCUAUCACCUUCGGCUACCGCUGGCGACGGUCGGCCUAGCCUCGGCCAUUACCCGGCUCCCUCCCAUGGCCGAUUUGGUUAGUGGGGGCUAACCACCCCACUAACCCCCUGACCCUAUGACAACAGGGCCCACGCCCCUGUAAAACGUUUAUAAAUAAAAAUAGAGUUAAUUAAUAGUAGUUGAGAUUAAUUAGUUUAACUAAUCUAUUGUUAACCUAUUAGACUAUGAUAUGUGGGCCCUUUAAAUUAAUACUAUUUAAAUCUGAUUAAAUAAAUCUACUAAUUAUUUUAAAUAAUGUGUGAAUGACAGGUGGGUCCCCCCUUAGAAUUAAUCUGAUUAAUUAUUAAUUAACUAAAUUUUAAAUGUGUCCAUUCCGUAUGGGACCACUGGUUAGUUUGACCAUUCAGUAGGGUUCUUGACUCAUGAUAUCAUGCUGACAUCAUGCUGAUGUCAUAUAUAAUUAUUGAAUUUAAGUAAUCUGUUGAAUUCCUAAAUAAUUAAUAAAAUUUUAAAAAUAUAAUCCAUAAUUCGGAUGACAAUAAUUUAUACAUGAAAGUUGAUUGGAAAAACGAGACGAACCCGGAUACGCUAUGUGUUGGUCUCAGACGCGUCCCUAUCAUAGCGAACAUGGAACUUUUCCAUCCGUUUCACCGGAUACCUAUCCGGUAGUAGCCAAAGACCUGAGAAAUAUCAUCUGAUAUUUUCCCGAUCCGUCUAUGACGGAUGAUACUACGUUAGCUCAUGCCUAGCACUACAUGUUGCCAUUUAUUGGAUCAUGUUGCACCUCUUGCUGUUAUUUAUUGUUUCUUCCCCCUCUUCUUUCCGGUAGACCCCAUCAGUGACGCUGCUGCCGGGUACGACUACCCACUUCACGACCAACCCUUUGCCGCAGAGCAACAAGGCAAGAAAACCCCCUUGAUCAUUCCUAUAUCGCCCUUUUCUUUCUCCCUCAUGUUUGUAUUAGAUUUUGCUACUGUUGUAGUUAGCUCCUAUAUCUGAUGCAUAGCCUAUUUUUGAUGAACUGCUACUUUCCAGUACCGCACUUUAAACUGCUUAGUAUAGGUGACUCAGUCAUCCCCUUUGACCCCUUGGUCCAGUUGCCCCGCUUUACCAGCAAGUCUUGAUCUUUUGAUCGACGAGCCAAGAACCGUCACAUCACUCACAUACCCCUUAGUUGUAUGACACUGCAGAGCUACCAUCGAGUACUGAGGGUGACACCUCCUUACGUACUUCGAUGUUUUUGUUGUAGUGCCGUUGACCGGCGAUGGUUUCCGGAGGGUGACUCCUCCUUCACCACCUCCAAUAACAACUAUAUCGUACAACCCAUCAAGCUGGCCAAGCGAGGAUGAUUCCUCCGUGGCCACCUUGAUGAUUACAUCAUUUGGAAUCCGUCGAGGGUGAUACCUCGAAACUUUCUGAUGUUAUAGCCGCAUAGUUACUUGGCCUUGAUUACUGAGGAAAUGAUGAGGUGUGUUGCGGGUGGAUUCCCGUGUGAAUGUGACGAGGCAUGGCCGGGCAUUCUGGGCCCUUGCCAUACAUCCUUGAGACGGGGCGACGGGCCCAUCUUAUCAUGGUUCUGCUUGUCACCGCAAUUAAUUAAAAUUCUAAGGAUUUGGGUACUUGAUCUGGGUUGGCCGAAGACCUUUUUGCACUAACCGUCUACAUGGGAGGAGUUAUGGGUUCUCGACAUCGUGGUAUCAGCCGAAGCUCUUCACAUGCCAUCAAUGGAGCGGCGCACACCCGAGUGAUUUGAAUAAGCAUCAUUCUUGUAUAAGAGGUGCGAGGACUGACAUCGGCCGCCAACGCAACGUGCAAGAACGCAAAGGGUGAUGGUCCCAUGAACCCUGCACUCUUAGGAGUUAGACCGGUGGGCUGGCCUCUCUGUUGAUCCUAGGUAGGACUGUGACAUGUUGAUUUGCCGAGGCCGAGCAUGACCUAGGAAAGUAUGUCCGUCCAGAGUUUAUCAAGCGUGAUGGGAAACUUGGUGCACCUCUGCAGGGAAGAAUUUAACUAUUCGAAUAGCCGUGUCCACGGUUACAGGACGACUUGGAGUUUUGCCCCGAUCUUAUACAACUACAACUGUUACUUAACUGGAAUGUUUGCUCUGGGAUUGCUUCCUCGCAGGGAUUCGAGGGAGGAUCUACGGGCAUGACUUCAAUUAAUAUUGCGGCAACGAUAUGACUAUUAAUUGUUGCAAGACCCCUGAAGAUGCUAGUCUUCGAUAGGACUAGGCCUUCUCUCUCUAUUCUCGCAUUCCUGAAGUCAGUCCACAUAACCCCUUCCUUUGAUACUGAUGCAUAUCUUAGCAUAUGUCAUCGUUUUCUUACAACAGUAGCAUCUUCAGGGGUCCGGUAACGGGAUUGGCAACUAGCGAGCAAGACGCACGAUGUACCCAGGUUCAGGGCCCUAUGUGGGAGGUAAAACCCUUAGUCCUGUCGGAAUGGUUGAAGAACCAGUAGUGUUUACAGAGUGUUCCUGGAGCUGUUUCACGGAGGAGGAAGAAGGAGAAAUCGGCUCAUGUUCUACCUCUCCUGUAUGGGUGUGUGUCUUUCAUAGAAUGGCCGACCCUCUGCAUGGAGGGGUACCGGGGGGUUUUAUAGAUGAACCCCCAGCCUACAAAAUGGAUAAAAGAUACUAAAGGGGGACCCAGCUGGCAGCCUCUUCGGCUAGUGAGUGGGUCCAGCAUCGAGCGGUCUUGUCUUCAGUUGGGCCCGCCGGCUGCAAGGUCCCAUCAAGCUAUGGGGCCUACCGACAGGCCAAUGCGAGGGGCGCGUGUUCUUCACGUGCGUGAUCGAAGGUACGUCGGUCGUCGUCUUGUAGGAUCAAGCAUCGGUCAGCGGUACGACCGCUUCCCCUGUAGCCACGCCUCGCCACGUAAUGGAGUGGAUGGAGACGACAAUACACUAUGCGGGGUUGAUAGGUCGGAGCCGUCUCCAGUCAGAGGUAUGUCUACCGCCACUGUAGCCACACGUAUCCUUUGCCAUCAUAUUUGUAUUGUAGUUCCUUUAUCUUCAAGAAAAGGCUUCUUUCGUGGCCAAGGGGUCGAACCGAUAGUAGCUUCCUAGCUGGCUGGAUGCUAGCCAGACGGCCUUGGGGUAAAUAGCCGCAUCCCUAGCCGACACGGUUCGCGUAUCCGGCCAGGUUGUAGCCGGCCGCGCCCCUAGCCGGCCUGGGUGUAGACGGCAGUGCCCCUAGCUGGUACGGGUUGUGUAGCCAGCCUGGGUGUAGACGGUAGUGCCCCUAGCCGGUACAGGUUGCGUAGCCAGCCAGGGAAUGUCAGUACAUGGGAAUGCAUUUUCCCAAGUUGUGCUGAAAGGCCAUGGAGUAGGAUCGAUGAGACUACCCCAGGGUUAUCCCCCCGUCAGUAGUCCCUGAAGCAGGGGAGGCCCGCCGUCUUAGGGCAAAGGGCCUCGUCGGCUUGGAGUUUGCUCCUCCGGGCCGUCGGAGCCAGUGACCGGCAAAGCCUUAGGUUGAAGGCGGCCGGGAGAGCGGUCAGCUGGCUUCCGCGAGAUUUCUCAGCUUCUCCAUUUUAAUGCGGCGGCAUGCCACGCGUCGGGUGUCAGGGGCCGCGCCUUGAUAGGCCACGCGCUGAUAGGACUGGGCCUGCAGCGAGGGGGGGACCCGCCAUGCCGCAGCCUUGACCUUCGUGUGGGGAUCUUCUAUGGAAAAUAAGGCGACGGUUGGUGUCUUGCUGUGUCUUAACUUCUCUGCAUGGUGCGGGGGGAAUGGAGAUCGUGCUCACCAGAUCUCCUUCCCCGUUACUUCGUCUUGAGUUUAAAGGGGCAGGCGGAAGGGAUGAAGCAGCCAUUCGUGCCCCUACUCCUCAUCUUCGCGACACCCUUCCCUUCCCGCUCAAGGAGAGAGAGAGUGAGAAAAGCGACUGGUUGGAAGCUCGCCGUCGCUCGCCGCCGGCGCCCUCAGUAUCUGCGUCGUCUUCCUCCGCAGUCUCGACAUGUCUUGGGCCGCCCCCAAGAGGAAGGGACACCGCGAUUCUUGUGAGGGCUGCAUCGUGGUGGAGGAUCAUGUUGAAAACCUCCGCCGCCGCCGCAUGCUGCCCCUGGUGGAGCUCGUCGCUGUGUGCAUACAGGAGAGGGAGGGCUCUCUGGCACCGAAGUCCGGCAAGGUGGUAGUGUUCCUAGAACACUUCUUCCGCCAUUUCGGGUUGCCGCCGAGCAAUUUCUUCAACUAUUUCUUGGUUCACUAUGGCCUGCAGCCGCAUCACCUCAUGGCGAACGAUGUGCUGCAGCUGGCAGCAUACGUCAUCCUGUGCGAGGGGUUUUUGGGGAUAGAGCCGUGCCUGGACCUGUGGCGGCAGUGCUUCUACUUCAAGCAGUAAUCUUCCUCGAACGGGACCCCCAAGGGCAAGAAUAUGUCUGACUGCGGCGGGGCCUUAUUUCACCACCGGGGUGCGUCCAGCUUCUUGAAGCUUCCUUAGCAGGACUCGGUGAAGAAGUGGCAGAAGGGCUUUUUCUACGUGAAGAACGUCGACCCCCGAAACGACUGCAUCAACCUGUCUCCCUUCAACAUCGAUCCGCCAACGACGAAGUUGAACUGGAAGAGUAACCUGCCGAAGGAGGCUGCCGAAGUGAAGCUCAUUUGCGCCCAACUCGAUCUUCUCAAGGUGGAGGGCCUUAAGGCCGUUGAUCUCUUGGCCACCAUGGAGGCACGUCGGAUCCUGCCUCUCCAACACCGGACACAUCUAAUAUGUCAGAUGAGUGGCCGGCAUGACCCAUGUCAGCUCUCCACGAAGGAGGUUCGAGACGGCAAGGUGGCAGAGCGGGUGAAGCUGAUCUCCACCGCCUCCAUGGACAUGAACGACAAUUGGCGCUAGGGCAUGGCUCCCUAUGACGGCAGCAUCCGGCCCUAGUGGUAAGUCCUGCCCUGUUUGCAUUUUUCCUUUCGCUUUGGCGUGCAUCCCAACUUCUAACACCGCAUGUCGGUUGCCCGCCAGUUGUUUGACCGCCUGCAGGUCUACCACCAGCCGGCAGCCGAGGCGUCGAACCCCGAGGAGAUCGAGGACUACGGCGACGUGAAGCCGUAGCCGGCCGACUCCCAGGAGGUCGAAGAGGUGGCAGGGUCGGAGGAGACCGAGCCGGCCUGUAAGUUUCUUGCGUCUUCAAUUCGUAGUUGAACCGACGACGACGGAGGGUCAUCUCUGUCGGUGAAUACUCACAACAUAUGCCAAAGGUAGGCUAAAGUCAGUGAGAACCGAAGUGACUACAGAGGGCGUUGGGGCGAGGUUGGUACAAGCAUGGAACGCACGAUGUACCCAGGUUCAGGGCUCUCCGUAGAGAUAAUACCCCUAGUCCAGCCGGACUGUAUGAUGUAUAUGGAUGGAUUACAAGGUUGCUCCUGGAGUUGUGUUGCGGAGGAGGAAGAGGGGAGCAGCCGGCUCGUCUCUGCCUCUCCUAUGUGGUUGGUGAGUGUGUGUGUAAUCUGUUGACCGACCCUCUGCAUGGAGGGGGGGGGGGUUAUAGGCGAACCCACCAGCCUAGAAUAUGGAUAAAGGGUACAAGAGUGGGACCCGGUUGGCAGCCUCACCGGCUGGCCACGGGGCCCCCGAGGGUCUUGUCUUGUCGCUUGAGGGGCCCACCGGCUGCGAGGUCCUGUCUGGCGGUGGGACCCGCCGUCUAGCAAAUGGAGAUCUCGUGUAAGGUUGACGGAGGGCACGCGCAGUACGUCCGACGUCGUCCAGCGAGAUUUGUCAUGGGCAGACGGUACGGCCGCCUCCACUGUUCCCACGCCGAGUGUAGUAAUGGAGUGGGAGAUUGACGGCCGACACUAUGCUGGGUGAUGGAUCAGAGCCGGGGUAGGUCAGCAGCGUGGCCGCCGACGCUAGUACGUGCCGUGCACUCCAAUCUAGUACCUUUGCUGACGCAUAGCCACCUUUAACCGUAGGGUCUCGUCAUGACCUACGGUCUUAUGUGACUUGAGAUCCCCGAGCUGGCUUAGGGAUGGCCACCUCGUUCCUAGCCAGCUGGCUCGGCCUAGGUGGUCAAGAAGAGGUAGCCGUCUUGCCCCCAGCCGGCAGGUGUUGCCUAGCCGGCCAGAUAGUUGGUCGUCUCGUCCUCCAACCGGUAGGUUCAGCCUAGCCGACCAGAGGACUUGGGCUCGGAGAAUUAUACUUGGUCAUUCCUUUUGGGCAGGAGAUGAAGGAACGGGCUCGAUGAGCCUACCCCGGGGUUAUCCCCCCGACAGUAGUCCCCGAAGCUGGAGAGGCCCGCCGCCUGCGGACGGAUGGCCUCACCAUCUUUAUUUUUGUCUUUGUAUUCCUGCCGCUACGUGCGGUAGGGAACGCCGGCCCCGAAGCCGGGUGGCUUCGAAGCGAUGCCACGACUUCGUCGCAGGCUGCGCAGAACGCGCCAAGUGUGAGGCCCGGCCUGACAUAAUGAUGGUUAUUACUGUUGACGGGACCGGGCUCCGGCUGGAAGAUCCUCUGCGGAUUUACUUCGCGACGGUUGGGUUUCGGGAAGCGAUACCGCGCGUAAUACACAGGGUUAGUGGGGCUCCGCGUGCACCGGAUCCCCUCCCCAUGACGCUUCGUGGGGUUUAAAUGGGACGCACGGGUCCCGAGGAGGCCACUCACCCCCUUCUCGGCCCGCAUCGAUGCCCUCUUCCUCCCUCAGCCCAGAGAGAAAGUGCCCGUCCAUCUUUGCCUUCUUCUUCUCCGUCGCUGUUGCGCCACCAGCCUUCCUGAGCAUUCGCCGCCCGCAAUCAUGGCCGGCGGCUCCUCCUCGAAGAAGUCCUCGUCGCAGGGAACCUGGCUUGGUAGUGAGAUCUGCGAAGGCCACAUCGAGGCGCUCCGCCAUCGCCGGAUGUUGCCCCCGGCCUCCCAGGUGUUGGCGCGGAUCCCUAGAACCGAGACAGACCCAACACCGGUAGAGGGAGAGAUCGUCGUUUUCAACGAGCACUUCUACAGGGGCUUUGGGCUCCCGGUGAGCCCCUUCUUCUCUGAAUGGCUCCACUUCUUCGGCCUACAGCCGCACCACCUGGCACCGAACGCCAUCUUGCAGCUGUCGGCAUUCGUAGCCUUGUUCGAGGGCUUCCUGGGGAUAGAGCCCCGCCUCGACCUCUAGCGAAGCUUGAUUUUCUUCAAGCAGCAGUCCAUUGUAAUGGACAAGGCCGAGCUAGAGAAGCUCGCCGGGCCGAGCCCGAUGACGCCGUGCGGAGCCGCACUGGUGCAUCAUCGUUCGAAGUCUGGCUUCCCCCAGAUGCCGUUGCCAGAGUCCAUCGAGCAGUGGCAGAAGGGUUUCUUCUACGUGAAGAAUGCCGACCCUGCUCACGAUGCCCUCAACUUGCCCCCGUUCAACAUUAACCCUCCGACGAAGUUGAACUCGGGGGCGAAGUUCCCGAAGCCGAUUCCCGAGGUGGCGCAGAUUGGCGCCCACCUGAACAUCUUGCAGGAUCGCGACCUCCUUGGCCGCGACCUGCUUACCACCAUGGUCACCCACAAGAUUCUGCCGCUGCACAGGCGGCCUCACCUGGUCUGCCAGAUGAGUGGCCGGCACGACCCCUACCGGACCUCCACCAAGAGAUUCACCCCCAGCGCGGUGGCGCGGGGGGUGAACCAGAUUUCCACCGCCCAUAUGGACGAUAGUGGAAACUGGUCGUGGGGGAUGACCCCAUACUGCAGGUCCCGUCCGCCUCCGGUGGUAAGUAUUCUUCGUUGUUCUGUUCUUGUUGUUUGUCUCACGACCGACCGUCUCGCUGAGCCGGCCGUCAACUCCUUCGCGCAGGUAUUCGAGAAGCUGCAGGCAGCACUCAACCCGCCUGCCCGUGACGUGGUGACGUGUGAUGCCUCGGAGAUCGAGGACGAGGGCAUGAUCGAGUCCCGCUCUGCCUCCUCCAAAGGCUCAGAGAAUGUGCUGGAGUCGGAAGGGACGAAGCCGUCUGGUGAGCAUCUGCGGCCCUCCAUCAUAGAUUGUACGGACGAUAAAGAGUCUCCCUCCUCCCUAUCUGAUGCAGCAUUCGAGGAAGACUCCGACGGGGUGGAGGAGGUCACUAUCCCGCCUCUGACGCACGGAUGGCAUCAUAGGGCCGAGGAGGCCGGACCUGACGAGGCGGCCAGGAAGAAGGGCAAGGGUGCCACAGCUUCCAGGCCUGCUCCUAAGAGCCCGACAACGGGUCCUCUCACCGUAGUACGGGCAGGCGGCACUAAGAAGCGCCAUUCUGGUGGCGGCAGGAGGCAGGUGCCCAUCGUCGCAGGGUAAGGGUUCCCCUCCCUUCUUUUUAUUUUGUCUUGUGUGAAGCUUCGUUCCUCAAAAACGUCGCCCCAUAGGGAGGCGGAAGACGUGGAGGAAGACGUCGCCUCCGCAGCCAAACGAGCCGGCUGGACAGCGGCUGACGCUGCCCAGAAGGAGCUCGAGGAGCAGUCCAGCCGCUGGUGGGAUGCGACCGCGGGGAAGACGGCCGAGGGCCAGUCUCGCCUCAGCCAGGCCGAGAAGCCGGCGGAGAAGCGUAUGAAGUCUAGACAUGACCCCUCCACGCAUGCUCGCGUGGAGGAGCCAGCUAGCGAGGCAAUGCCGAGGCAUGCCCCGAGGACCGAGGAGGCCCGGCCCUCCGAGCCGGAUGCCUCUGCGCCGGUGGAUCUGGAGGUGAUCCCUGAUUCACGUGGGGCCGAGGCGGCGCCCCACGCGGCGCCCGACGCGCCGGAACUGAUACUGGACGCGCCAGACAUGGCCCCGGGUGCGCCGGGGAUGAACAUGGAUGUGCCGGACGCGUCCCAUCCACCUCCUGCCGAGGAGGCGACGCCGGCUGGGGUGUCGGCGGAGCCGGCCGCCAUGCCACCACGUGGAGACGGCACCAUCGUUGUCUCCAACCGCGGUCCGGCUGCUCCAGGAGCCGGUCCCAGAGUCGGGAGCCGACUCAUGAAGGCCUGGCGAGCGGCUAACCUGGAGCCCUCGAAGCUGCCCGCAGGCACCGUGCUCCACGGCGUCCCGGAGCUGGUGUCGAUGUUUGCCAGCAGCCGGUUCAAGGUGGACCAGGCGGCCCGCAUGGUGAUCUGGAGCGCUUGGAGGAGCGCACCAGGGUAAGUGCCUCGCGUCUGUCUUUAAUUUUUUCUUUUCUUGAAUCAGUGGGGGCGCACCAGUGCACCCACUGGGUGUAGCCCCCGAGAGUCGGGCCGGCCGAGCAUCGGCUGAGCCGAAUCUCUUUGAGCUUCUUUUCUUGCUUUGCUUCUUUAGUGGGGGCGCGCUAGCGCACCCACUGGGUGUAGCCCCCAAGAAUCGGGCUGGUUAUGACUUAACCAGGCCGAAUCUUACUUCUGCUUUUUCUUGUUUUGUAGGAUCUCUAUGACGCCUAGCUGCAAGCCUACAACAUGCUGCGGGCUCAAAACCAGGCGGCUGAUGGCCACGUUGCCGAGCUUCAAGCCCGGCUUGGCGAGGCUGUCGUGGAGCGGGACGACCCGCGCGAUGUGGACGGCCGGCUUGAGGAGAAGCUGGCUCUUCUCCAGACGGAGAAGAAGGAGCUCGAGGCGGCUAGCCGUGCCCAGUUGGAGCAGCUGCACGCCUCUCCGCAGGAGAAGGACGCCUCCCAUACUGCCGACGUGGAGCGUCUUGAGACGCUUCAUUUCGGGGAGAUGAAGCUCAAGGAUGCUGCCUUGAAGGAGAAGGAGGACACCAUGAUCCAGAAGAAGACGCAGCUGGCCAAGGCUCUGGACGCGGCGGCGGCCCUCCAGGACGAAGUCGCCCGCCUCACUCAAGCAAGCAAGGUGCGAGAGCUGGAGGCCAUGGAGAGCGCCCAUGAGACUGAUAGCAACUUCGACUGUGAGUCUUCUUUUGUUUUGUAUUGAACUUUCUUUUCCGUCUCCUCUUCUUACUCGUCUUUGUGCCCCCUCCCCUAUCUCAGGCCUCUUCCCUGAGACACGGGGCAUGGACGACACGGCCGUCGAGGUGAGUCGCGAGGAGCGCCGCGCGGCCGGGAAGGAGGUAGACGCUACCUCCGGCUGGAGCGUGGAGGAGAUCGGCAUGGGCCUCAGGGCCCGCGUGCGCGUCCUGGGCGAGUCCGUGCCUCGGCUCCAGAUCACAGGUUCGUCGAUGGUGGAAGCCCUUUGGCCUGAUGGCGUGGAGCCGGCGUCGAUGAGCCGGCUCUCCCGCUGGCUUGCAGCUCGCGAGGACCGUCUUGACGCCUGGCGCGCUUCGGCUGGGCGCGCUGGAGCCUACAUGGCACUGCGCUUGGCCAAGUCCUGGUACCGAAACCUGGACUUGGGCAAGCUCGUCGCUCAGCGCGACGACUCGGAGGUGGAGCUAAAGGCCGUGGAGGAGGAGCUGCGCGUGAGGGCCAUCGACAUCGCCUCGUAUGCCGCCUAGGAUGGGCUCAACUUGGAGCGGGGUGAAGGCGGCAAUUUGAUCCCUGAAGAUCUGCAUAGCCUUCAGCCCUAUGACGCCGAUGGAAGCUCCGCCGAGGCGGCCCAUGAUGUGGAGAAUGUUGCUGCCUCCAGCGGCGCGGCGUACGCCGACUCAGAUGCGGACGGAGCGGGAAGCCCUCGUAGAGGAGACGGCACCACCGCCUCGGGAGUAGCCGGCGAUGGUGAAGCCACCACUUCAGGAGCAGCAGUCGGGGCAACCGACGAGGCCGCAACCCCUUAGCCGAUCCUGUUUUUUCUUUUUGUUGUCUCAAAUUAUCUUGUCAGUCCAACAGUUCCACCCAUUGGGGGGUGUAAUGAACUUCGGCCAUGGGCCAACGCAUUUUGAAUGAAUGGAUUCAGCAUUAUAACCGUAUUGCCAUGCGUGUUGUUUUAUGUCUUUAUCUUUUGAUUCCUGUUUGACUUCUUUUUCUCCAACUCCUGUACCCCCCAAGUUUCCAAUCCGCCAGCCCGACAGCCGGGAGCCGGUCUGUGAAAGGGUCGAGGUUUCUGACUUCGAGAAUAUAAGACUUAGAUUUUUCGAAGCUAUCAAGACUUAAAGAUUCAGACAUAAACCAACAGAGGCCGGCUAGAAUGAGAUCGUAAAAUAGAUCAAGCCAACCCGAGCCGGCAACCUUUUUGUAGUCAAACUUUACACGCAUCCGGCCUUACCUGGCGUCGCCUCGUUAGCCGGAUAGCCGAGAGCCAGUCUGUAGCUGUUACGAGGUGACCAGGGAUCGGUCCGACGUAUGCUAUGUGUUUUUCUACAACAUAAGGAAGUUGUCCGGGCGGCUAGCGAGCCCCCGAGCUUAUUAGAGCCAGCAAGGGGCUUCACAGAGUGAGCACUCUAGAUAUGAACUUAAAAAGAAGCAUAUGUGCAUGCUCUUUUCAUUGCAUUCAUUAGAAAUCCCUGAAGAGGGAGAAAGAUACAUAUGUGCAUGCUCUUUCCAUGCUUGAUACUUGCCUUCUAGCAAUAGAACGGGCGAAGCAACGCCGUGUUCCAUGGACGUCCCGUCUCCUGGCCGGAGUCGUCCCUCUUGUGCUUCCUUGGUUUCUAGGCAUCGAUCGAAUAGUAUGCGUUGUUGUGUAAUGCCCUACUGAUGAUGAAGGGCCCCUCCCAUGGGGAUGAGAGCUUGUGCUGGCCGGCCCAGUCGACCAAGAAGUCGCCACCACCUGAUAUUUGAUGGCGGUGCGAGGCUCGUAGCGGAUAUCAUGGUCCGCCAUGGCGAUGGACCACUUGGCGAUCCUGCCAGUCGCAUCACAGUUGCCCAUGAUUUCUAAAAGCGGAGCAGUGCUCACCACAGUGAUAGCAUGCUCUUGGAAGUAUUGCUUCAACUUCUUUGCAGCAAGGUAAACACCAUAACACAUUUUUUGGUAGUGGGGAUAGUUCUGCUUGGAGGCAGACAAGACCUCGCUGAGGUAGUAGACAGGGCGCUGCACUAACAGUACCUUUCCCUCCUCCUUGCGUUGAACUACCAACACUACACUAACAAGGCGAGUGGUCGCUGCAAUGUAUAUGAGUAUGGGUUCCCUUUCAGCCGGCGCUGCCAAGAUUGGGAGACUCGAGAUGACCCGCUUGAGGUCACGGAAGGCUUCGUUCGCCUGGUCGUUCCACUCGAACUUCGUCUUCUUCUUCAUGAGCUGGUAGAGUGGAAGGGCCUUCUCACCGAGCCGGCUGACAAACCGGCUAAGGGACGCCAGGCAGCCGGCGAACUUCUGGACGUCUAGGAUCCGUGCCGGCCUCACCAUCCGCUCGAUGGUGCCUAUCUUCUCGGGGUUCGCCUCAAUGCCACGAGCGGACACAAAGAACCCCAAGAGCUUACCGCCUGGAACCCCAAAGAUACACUUCUCCGGGUUGAGCCAGAUCUUGUAUUCGCGCAGGUUGGCGAACGUCUCCCGCAAGUCGUCGAGGAGGCUGAAGUGUUGCUUCGUCUUGACGAUGAUGUCAUCCACAUAGACGUGGAUGUUUCUGCCGAUCUGUGGUAGUAGGCACUGCUGCAUGCAGCGUUGGAACGUUGCACCGGCGUUCUUCAGACCGAACGUCACGGUGGUGUAGCAAUAGGCCCCGAAGGGCAUGAUGAAGGAGAUCUUCAGGCGAUCAGCUGGAUCCAGCUUGAUUUGAUGGUAGCCUGAAUAAGCAUCCAGAAAUGACAGCAUUUCGCAGCCUGAAGUGGAGUCAUUCACUUGACCUAUCCUAGGCAACGCGAAAGGGUCUUUCGGACAGGCCUUAUUCAAGCUAGUGUAGUCGAUACCCAUUUUCCAGGUAUUGUUCUUCUUCAGCACCAGGACUAGAUUGGCCAACCAGUCCGGGUGGAAAACCUCCAUGAUGAAGCCGGCUGCAAGGAGCCGGGUAAUCUCUUCUCCAAUUGUGCGCCGCUUCCCCUCGGCGAAGCGGCGCAAAGGUUGUUUUACCGGCUUUGCAUCCGGUCGCACGUGAAGUUUGUUCUCGGCGUACUUCCUCGGAACACCCGACAUGUCUUUGGGGGACCAUGGAAAUAUGUCCCGAUUCUCACGGAGGAAGUCGACGAACUCGCCUUCCUAUUUGGGGCUGAGGCCAGCUCCGAUGGUGACGCACUGCUUGGUGUUUGCAGGGUCGAGUGGCACCUGCUUGGUCUCUUUGGCCGGCUUGAAGGAGCCUUCGCCGACCGACUGGGACGGAGGAGAAGGGAUCGCCGGCUGCUCGGUAGCCUGGGCCACGAGCCGGUCGAUAUGUCUCUUCUCCUGAGCAAUCACCAUGGCAUCGGCCAGACGGCUGCUGUCUUGUGCGUACUCGAGCGACUUCUUGUAGUCGCGAGCAAUGGUGAUGAUGCCCUUUGGACCCGGUAUCUUCAUCUUCACGUAAGCGUAGUGCGGGAUAGCCAUGAACCUGGCCAGAGCCGAUCUACCCAGCAGCGCGUGAUACGGGCUGCUGAGGUCCACUACCUCGAACCAUAUGGACUCGCGGCGGAAGUGAGCCUUGUCGCCGAAGAGGACGUCCAGCUGGAUUUUGCCGAUAGGCGAGCAGGACUACCUAGGCACGAUGCCGUGGAAGACAGUGCUGGUCGGCAGGACGUCCAUCUCCUUGAGCCCGAGCUUGCGAAGAGUGUCGAGGUAUAAGAUGUUGAUGCUGCUGCAGCCAUCGACCAACACCCGGGAGAACCUACACGUGAGCCUCUCGGAGGAGAAGGUGGGGUCGAGGACGAGCGCGAAUGAGCCCGGGUUGGGCAUCACCGCAGGAUGGUCUACCAGGCUCCAUGUGAUUGGUCUGUCGGACCAAUGCAUGUAUUGGGGAACCGGGGGGACCGUGGCAUUCACCUCACGCCGUCGCUGGCGCAGGCUAUGCUUGUCGUCGCCUUCGCUGGUGAAGACGAUGAAUGCUCCGUCUUGAUGGGGGUAGUCGUCGUGGAGGCGGCCGUCAUCACGAGGCGGCGGCGGUGGAGCUGGAGCAGGACCUGGAGUCGGGGCUUGACGCACAGCCUGUGCACCUCGGGCAGCCGGCAGACCCUCCCCUUGCGAUAGCCGUCGUGCAAAACUGAACUGUCGAAGGGUGUGGGUAGAAGGGUGUGCCCCAGAAUGUAUCUUGCAGGGGGCGUCAAGCAGCUGCUCGGAAGUCUGCUUGGGCAACCAGUUUGUAUUGCCCCUGUUGGGCCGCUUCCGUUGAGAGCCGGCUUGAGAAGCCGACACCUCAACCUCCAUGCUGGCCACCAACUUGUUGUUGGAGCGCCAAUCUAGCUGAUCCGCCUUGCGCUUGUUGUUUUACUGGCCGCCUCGACUGUCUCCAGCCGGCUUGGGACUACCCGACGUAGGGAUAGCCUUGUCCGAGGCGGUUAUCUUGACCCGCAUCGCGGAGUCGGUUGUGGCGUACUUGUCCGCCUUGGCCAUGAGCACCGCCAGACAGGUGGGGUCGGAGCACAUGAGCUUGUUCUUGAGGAGGGUGCCGUCUCGGCAACCGUCAAUGAAGUACUGGAUGGCCUAUACCUCAUGCACCCCCUCGCAGGAGUUGCGAAGCUCCGUCCAGCGAGUGACGUAGUCGCGAAGGGGUUUGUCGGGCCUGUGGACGCACAUGGCCAGCUUCCGCGGCCGGCCAGGGCGCUUGUAGGUACCAGUGAAGUUGCGGACGAACGCCUCCUCAGAAUCCACCCAUGAGUUGACGCUGCCGGCUGGAAGGCUGUUGAGCCAAGUCCGAGCCGAGCCGGCCAACAUGAGUGGCACGUAGCAUACUGCUACGCGCUUGUUUCCCCUGGCAAUGCCAACGGCGGUGGUGUAGUCGAUCAGCCAGUCCUCUGGCUUGGCGGUGUCGUUGUACUUGGGAGUGUCCCGACGCAAGGUGAAGCCUCGGGGAAACGUCUCCCCUCGGAUUCGGUGGCCGAAGUAGGCCGGACCGAUGGGGCCGUCCUCCUCUAGGAGGGCUGACUGGGCCUGGGCGUUGAGAUGCCUGCGGGCGUCCUGGUCACCCUGGGGAACGCGAGCGCCGAUCCUAGCUGCGAUCGGAAGUGCAGCUUGCGAACCGGUGGCAUGGGUCCUCCCCGGACGAGGAACCUCAUACACCUAGUCGCUCUCGUCGCCUCCGCGACGCCUGCUUGAAGUAUGCUUGCUCUGGCGCUGGGAGCGCCUGUCCUGACUUCCCUCGCCACUCCGGCCGGAGGUGCUAUGCGAGGAAGAUCCCUCCGCAUGGUGAUGACAGCUAGGUUUGCGGCGCGCUCAGAAGUUGGGUCCCGGAGACUCUAACUGGGCCUGUCCGGGGUCAAGCCGUGUCUACUGCUCGUUGGCGGCGUCAAGGAGGUCCUUGACCCGCUUCUCCUGGAAGGCGCGCUCCUCGCCCUCCAAGCUCGGCAUUUCUUCCAUGGCCGCCUUCGCCGCCCGCAAGUUGGCUGCAGGGGUCUCGUGGACGGGCUGCUUGCCGCCUAGAAUCUCGGCAAUGAACCGGCCACGGCAGCGGACCGACCCAAGCCGGCUAGGGGCAUCGGAAACCGGGGUGAGGCCGUAUGCGGAGUUAUAGUCGUGCCGCGUGGCCUCCAUCCGGCGCUUUGACGAGGCGACGACAAUGCCCUCCUCCAAGAUCUGCUUGCGAGCCUCCUCUAGCAAGGCUCGGGCGUCGUUAGGGUUCGUGGAGGCGGUGAUGGGCGUCUUCAGGCCGGCAAGCGCAUCCUGAAGAGUGUCAGCGGUGACACCAGCAGGCUCACCAGCGUCUUCUGACACCUUGCCAUGAGCCGUGCUGGUGCCAGCGCCGAUGACCAUCACCUCCACGAUGUUGGAGACGGUGGCGACAUGGUAUGGGGUGAAGAACCCCACCUACGGCGGAGGACCGUCGAAGACGAGUAUGUUGGUGGGGUACACGUCAUGUGCAGGCAUCCCAACGAUAGAGAGCCUAUUGAAGCUGGUGCACAACGCCUCGACAUCGAAGUCCUCGCCGAAGUAGAGAGGACCAUCGUUGAGACGCAGGUCACUAAAGAGAACGUUGAGGUUCUCCAUAGCAGCGACGACGACGCUAGGAGGAGCCUCGUCAUCGGAAUCUUCGUCCAAAUCCGCAUGGCGGACGGGGACGUCGAUCAUCAUCGGCGUUGCCUCAUCGAAGGCGGGCUCCACGGGCAUGCAGAUCGAUCUGGACGCGAUGCAUCCGGUGGUGUAGGUGCGGGGCCCCGCCCAUCGCGUAAAGCCAGCCGAUGCCGCGAUCGGCCCCACGGUGGGCGCCAAAUGUCGGUGAAUACUCACAACAUAUGCCAUAGGUAGGCUAAAGUCGGUGAGAACCAAAGUGACAACGGAGGGCGCUGGGGGCGAGGUUGCUACAAGCAUGGAACGCACGAUGUAGCCAGGUUCAGGGCUCCCCGUAGAGAUAAUACCCCUAGUCCUGCCGGAUUGUAUGAUGUAUAUGGAUGGAUUACAAGGUUGCUCCUGGAGCUGUGUUGUAGAGGAGGAAGAGGGGAGCAGCCGGCUUGUCUCUGCCUCUCCUAUGUGGUUGGUGAGUGUGUGUGUAAUCUGUUGACCCACUCUCUGCAUGGAGGGGGGCCGAGGGGUUUUAUAGGCGAACCCACCGGCCUACUAUAUGGAUAAAGGGUACAAAAGUGGGACCAGCUGGCAGCCUCACUAGCUGGCCAGGGGGCCCUCGAGGGUCUUGCCUUGUCGCUUGAGGGGCCCGCCGGCUGCGAGGUCCUGUAUGGCGGUGGGACCCGCCGGCUAGCCAAUGGAGAUCUCGCGUAAGGUUGACGCAGGGCACGCGCGGUACGUCCGACAUCGUCCAGCGAGAUUCGACAUGGGCAGAAGGUACGGUCGCCUCCACUAUUCCCAAGCCGAGUGCAGUAAUGGAGUGGGAGUUUGACGGCGAACACUAUGCUGGGUGAUGGAUCAGAGCCGGGAUAGGUCAGCGGCGUGGCCGCCGACGCUAGUACUUGCCGUGCACUCCGAUCCAGGACCUUUGCUGACGCGUAGACACCUUUAACUGUAGGGUCUCGUCAUGACCUACGAUCUGAUGUGACUUGGGAUCCCCGACCGGUUAGCCUGCUUGGCUAGCCGGCUUGGGGAUGGCCGCCUCGUUCCUUGUCGGCUGGCUCGGCCUAGUCGGUCAGGAAGAGGUAGCCGUCUUGCCCCCAGCCGGUAGGUGUUGCCUAGCCGGCCAGAGAGUUGGCUGUCUCGUCCUCCAUCCGAUAGGUGCAGCCUUGCCUGCCAGAGGACUUGUGCCUCGGAGAAUUAUACUUGGUCAUUCCUUUUGGGCAGGAGAUGAAGGAACAGGCUCGAUGCGCCUACCCCGGGGUUAUCCCCCCGACAAUCUCCAUCGCAUGAUGCAGUUGCCCUGGAUGACUUGGAGGAGCUGGAGGACAUCUGAUAACCCACAAGUGUAGGGGAUCGCAACAGUCUUCGCGGUUAAGUUAACCCAAUUUAUUGAUUCGAUAGAAGGGGACCCAAAGAAUAUUUAUAAGCUUUAGCGGUUGAGUUGACAAUUCAACCGCACCUGAAAGAUACUUGCUUGGCAACGAAAUAUUAGUAGCAACGGUGAUAUGGAAGUGAUGGUGGCAACGAAAGUAAAACAACGAAAGUAAAGUGACUUUUGACUAGCAGGAUUAAUACAUUGUAGGCUAAGGAGAUGGAUGGUUGGUCAUGGAUGAGAGAUAUCAUGUAUUUAACUUGUGGCAAGCCACAUAGAAAAGUAAUGAUCAUCUAGGCAUAUAUCAAACAUUAGGCAUGUAUCCCGAGGUAGUCGUACGUGCUUGCAAUAAGAACUUGCAUGACAUCUUUUGUCCUAUCAUCCCGCUAUCAACGGGGCCAAAAGAAACUUAUGGAGAUUAAGGUGCUCGUGUCAAAGAGCACCGGAACAAAUCAUUAACAAUCAGUGGAUACAUGAAAUUCUCAAACUAUAGCCUAUCCCCUUUGGUGUCCCAAGCUGCCACCAUUGGGAUCGCCGAUUCCGGACUAUAAUAGGUGCAUACUACUCAUAGAUAGGAUCUAGAACACAAAUAUAUUCAUGAAAACAUAAUGAAUUCAGAGCUGAAAUCAUGGCACUCAGGCCCAAAGUGACAAGCAUUAAGAGUAACAAGUAGUAGAAAAGAUGAUAAACACCAUACUAGAUGAUAGGCAACGUGCCCCCAACAAUCCAACGAACUAUUACAUGAUCUAACUCAUCCAAUCUCUCCCAUCCCGUUCACCUAUAGCAGGUAAUUACUCACACAUGAUGGGAGAAGCCAUGGAAGAAUGAUGGAGUGGUGAUGGUGAUGACGAUGGCGACGAUUUCCCCUCUCUCGAGGCCAAAACAGCCUCCAGAUUAGCUAUCCCGAAGAAGUACCGAGGGUGGUGGCGGCUCCACGUCGAGAACUUGCAAAAUGACUUCUCUUCUGGAAUUUCGUCGUCACGGGUAAAAAUAGGAGCCAAAGUAGGGCACUAGAGGGGGUGGGCCCCACCCAGGCGGCCUCCCGGUGCGGCCAGGGGGCAGGCCGCACCAGGAGGUUGCCUGGGGCCCUGUGGCUCCCCUCUAGCCCAUCAUCUCGCCCAUGGUCCCUCCCGGUGCGUGGAUUUUCUCUAUUUUUAUGGGAUUUUUCUAGGGCGUCUAAAUAUUCAUUUCGUGCACACAACAAAACCAUACAUGCAGCUCUCGUGAAAACAGCGUCAGUCCGGGUUAGUUUCAUUCAAAUCAUGUAAGAAUGAGGCCAAAACAAUAACAUAAGUGUUUGGAAAAGUCGAUAUGUUUGAGACGUAUCAACUGCCCCAAGCUUAGCAUAUUUCUUGUCAUCAAGCAAUUCAGUUUAACAAACAGAACGCGACAAAGAAAACUCUGACAAACUCUUUUGCUUGAUCAGAUGUAUAUAAGCAUGCACUACGAGCAUGCCAACAAGUAUUGCAGUAAUGCUACCAAAACAAUACACAAAGAAAUCAUGCAAUCAUGUGAAGAAUUUCAAACAACUAAGACAAAAUAAUAUGUAACUGAAAGUCAUAACGAGAUCACAAUGCACAUGACUUGGAUAUACUAGAGUGGUAUCUCAUUAGCCCCCAAGAGGGAAGCAAAACAUAAAUGCAGACGCUCCUUCGGAGUAUCAAAAGGAGACUAGAAAUAAAUAUUUCAGAACAAGCAAUAUCACUAUCAUGCAGAAGACAAUGUGGUGCUUUGGGACAAUGCACAUUACAGUGAGAAUGACAAUUAUGCUCUCUAUAGUUGGUGCUUUUUAUAAGAAGAGGACGACUCAACAGAAAAGUAAAAAGAUAGCUCGACAUAGAGGGAAGCGUUGAUUUGCAGAGGUGCCAGGGCAUGAGCUUUAAAACAGGGAUAAAUCAACAUUUUGAAUGGAAUGCUCAUUGUCAACGUAACAAAUAAAAGAUCUCAAUAUCUUUCAUGCUAAAUACAUUAAAGGUGGUUCCCAAACAGAAAAGUAAAGUUUUAACUCCCCCUCCACCAAUCGAUCACACUCCACGGCGGUCCGAAUCCAGGGGGACCGUCCAUUCAAACAACAAUCCUAGGGGAGUUUUGUUUCAUUAAAGUUGAUUUGAUUCUCAGCAUGGAACUGGGAAUCCCGGUUACCAGGGACUUUCUCGUGAAUGAUAGUGAAUCAACACAUAUCUUGAGAAUAACCUACUUAGCAUGGAAGAUACUGACAACCCCUAGUCACUACAUGAGCGAUUCAGGCAUACAAAACAGAAUAUUCAUUCUAAAAUUUAGAAUACGGCACAUGCAAAUAUACUUCGGACGGUACAUAAAUACCGCAUAUAGGUAGAUAUGGUGGACUCAUAUGGCGCAACUGGUUUUAUGGAUUUUGGGUGCACAAGCAGUCAGUCUUCUUAGUACAGGAGAAGGCUAGCAAAAGACGGGGAAGCGACCAACUAGAGAGCAAUAAUGGUCAUAAUCAUGUAGAGCGACAAAGCAACAUUGAAUCGGGCAUGAAAGCGAUAUAACUAUUCUGAAAUAAAAAGAUCGUCAAGGCUUGAUAGACUUUUAGUCAUAAACAUGUGUAAGCAUGUCCCAAGUCAAUCCAAAAACUCUCCAAAGGGAAAUACCACUCUAAUAUGCCAAACCAUGAACAAUUUGAUGCAUGCAAAUCAUUUCAAUAACACAUUAUGCACUCCAACUAUUUGAGAUGAGUCACAAAGAAGGCAUGAACUACUAGGAAAGCAUUGUAAUCGUAGUACUAUGUCGCUACAAGCUGGUCUCUAGAUCAUAACUACACGCAUAUGUACAAAAGUAGAAACAAGUAGAGUUCAUACCGACUUUCCUUGUUACAUUCCUUCCAUCGAUAUUCGUCAUUAUUGCAUCAUCACUUGCACGAUCGAACGUAGAAAGAUAUAUUCAAGUGCAAUUGCAACCAUGGACGUGAGCUGAACUCUGCAAACAAAGCAAACUAAAGAGAGAAAAUAAGUAUUUUUGGGUUUUCCAAAGGUUAAACGAAAGCAAAAGAAAAGAGAAAUCUUUUUGUUGUUUUUGCAAAGACAGAACAAAGAAGAACAUGCAUAAAUUCUGAAAAGACUUUAAAAGGAAACUACGAAUGAUACAAUGGAAGGGGAGAAGGAUACGUACUCCCCCAAGCAUAGGCUUUUGGCCUAAGUUGAGCUCGGCUAUUGCCGUUUCCAGGAUGUUCCUCUGGCUCCGGAGUGGUACUGGUGGCUCCAAGAGUCAAACGAAGCCUCGGGCGCGUACAUUGAUGCCCGGAUGGCCUCCCAAGGAGAAGGUUCUUCUUCCUCGGGAACAACCUCCUCCAUGGGGUUGUGGAACUGCUGCUGGAUCACGAAUUCAUCCAGCUCAGUCGAGGUGAAAGACCAUCCAUUCCUGCUAGUAUAAUCAAACAAUAGUGUUGCAGGUAGACGGAUCUCCCGAGUAGUAAGCUCGCCAAAUCUCAUAAUAUAAACAAGGUUACCAAACUCGGAAGUCCUAGUAACAAACUCAUGCCUCUUCAUAGCGGUAAGAUCAAAGCUUAUGAAUUAAAAAGGCACAUCAUCCGCACGUGCAGUGAUCCCAAGGUGCUCGAGGAUAAGCGUGGCAUAAAUGCCACCAAAGUGAGGCCCUUUGCCGCUGUUAGCGACGAGGUGACAAGCAAUCAAAGCACCAAUAUUAUACGUGUGAUCUCAUAAGAGGGCGGCUGCCAAGAUAGUGAGAUCCGGAGUCGAAAUGUUGCUCGUGUUGUCACGCGCUAACACCCCUCGAGCAAUAUAAUAUGCAAAAUAACUGAUGUGGGGAAACAAGAUGCUGGAGAUCUUCCCCGGGUGAAUUUCUCGCGGGUCCUUACUGCAAAGGGAAGCGAAUAGGGAUUUCAGCUCGUAUGGCUGAACUUUCAUUUUGUUCAUCUUCCCGAAAUUCCGCACACCAAUAAUGUCAGAAAAUUCUGCAAAAGACAUGGUAAAGACAUCCUCAUAUAAUCUAUAUUCAAUCAUGGAAGUUUUACAAUUAUAUCUAAACCAAUUGACAAAAUAAUAAGUGAGUUUUGGGUAUUGUUGCACACGUCGUGUCAUGAGGUGUGUCAAACCUACAGCUGCACACAUGUUAUCAAACUCAUUCUUAAUACCUGCCACCAUAAGAAAAUAUGAACACGGGUAUGCCAUGGCAUGUGCCGUGUCCGUCUUGUGGAACAACUCCGGUGGCACGGUAUCAUCAUUGUAACUAGUCCUCACAGUAGAGGAUGAAGCUGCAGCUCUAGUUAAUCUAUCGGUAGACUCGGGUCUCUUCUUCCCAAGCCAUCCCUUUGCCUUUCCAAACAAGCUCAUUUCGGAAAUUUUUGGUUUACCACAAAAAUGGAGGUUUAAGCAAAAAUGUGUUGGAGCAACCUAUUCUACUCACUCCCCUUAUGCAUAAGCUUGCAUCAAAACUUCACAAAUAAAUUUCUAGGCAUGCAAGCAAGCUCAUAUGAACAGCACCAAGAGCUCCUAAAUACUCACAAAUAAGACCAUCAAUCAAAAUUUUAAUUGGAGUAGUGGAGGAGUCACAUACCACGGAGCAAAUGCUCAAAUUCUCAAUGCAAAUGAUGGGCUGUAGAGAGAGAUCGAAAUUUGCCACCAAGGAUAGCAAGAACUCGAGCUCCAGCAGAAAAAUCGGGAUUUUUGGAGUGAGAGAUAAAGAAGGGAGGAAGAAGUACCUGGAAAGGGGCCGAGGUGGGCCCAGGUGACUUGGUGGCGCGGAUAGGGGCAGGCCGCGCCAGCUGGCCACCUGGACAAAGCGUGCUCCCCCUGGCUGGCCCUAGGUGCCCCUGCAUCACUUUUUUGAAGGAAAUUUUUAUUUUGAUUUUUUUGGAUUUUUUCUAACAACUUCGCUUUUGAUUUUUUUUUCGAAAUAUUAAAAGCUGCAAAACUUCCGGUAAUCUCGAAACAAUAGUUAAACAAAUGAAGUUUCAAAAACAUUAAACUUUGGUACAACAAGGAGGAAGAAAGAUAAAGGAAAUGAAAACAUAACAAGCUUCUCUUUUUACUCAUAUAAAACAUAUUUGUUAGCAAGGUUGAUCAAGUCCCACUACCAAACAGGUGUUAUAUUGAGCAAAAAGUUUCACUUCUUAUAAAGUAAUCAUGUUACCUUUAUUUCAAUGGAUAUUGUCCCCAUCAUAACGGUUUUGUAUUUUUGGUGCACAUGUAGAGGACAAUCCCACUCUCCAACUUUCACGGUAUCAAUAUUCUCACUAGAAUUAAGGCCAUGCCUUUUAUCAAUCUUCUUCGGAAAAUAUACCAUGUGCUCCUUCUCAUUAACAUUGAAGGUCACCUUUCCUUUAUUGCAAUCAAUAAUAGCACCUGCGGUGUUAAGAAAAGGUCUACCAAGAAUAAUAGACAUGCUUCCAUCCUCGGGCAUAUCAAGCACAACAAAGUCACUAAGGAUCAAGCAAUUAGCAACUUCAACGGGAACAUCCUCACAAAUACCUACAGGAACGACUGUUGACUUAUAAACCAUUUGAAGAGAGAUAUCUGUAGAGAUUAGUUUAUCAAGACAUAACCUUUUGUAAAGAGAGGAAGGCAUAACACUCACUCCUGCACCAAGAUCACAUAAAGCAGUUCUGACAUAAUUAUUUUUUAUGGAGAAAGGAAUGGUGGGUAUACCUAGAUCACCAAGAUUCUCAGGAAUCUUUCCACUGAAAGAGUAAUUAGCAAGCAUAGUAGAUAUUGCCCCAUUAGGAACUUCUCUUUUGUUAGUAACAAUAUCUUUCAUAUACCUUGAGUACGAAGGCAGCUUAAUAGCAUCAGUCAAAGGAAUUUGAAGAAAAAGAGGUUUCAUCCAUUCACAAAAUUUAUUGUAAUGCUCUUCUUCUUUAGUUUUGAAAGACUUACGUGGAAAGGACAUUGAUUUUUGUACCCAUGGUUCUCUUUCCUUUCCAUGUUUUCUUGCAACAAAAUAUUCUCUAGUAUACCUUUUGCGCUUAUCUGGUGCAUCUUCUUCUCGUAUCUCAGGAGGAUCAAUCUUCUCAUUAUCUUUAUCAGGUUCAAUACCAUCUUCAGUUUCAGCAUCAGAAAUAGAUAUACUAUUAGGAUCAAUAAUAGGUUCUUCAUCAAUUAUGGGAUCAUUGGAGUGGUCAGCCUCCUUGUGUUUCUUCUUCUUCUUUGGGGAGCUGGCAAUGUCUUCUUCCUGCAAUUGAGAAUCUUGCUCUAUCCUUUUUGGAUGCCCCUCCGGAUAAAGGGGGUCCUGGGUGUGUGUACCUCCUCGGGUCUUUAUACCACAUGCGUGCGUGUCAACUUGUUUGUCAAUGUUAGCAAGCAAAUCUUUUUGCACAUUAGAAAUUUGUUCAAGCUGAGUUUGAACCAUAUGAAAAUGCUUAACAAGACCUUUAACAUCAUUAACAGUUCUACUUAAAACAUCAAGCAAACUUUUGAUAGCAAGGGAAUUAUCAUGCAAUUGGCUUUGAAUCCGCUCAUUAAAGUGAUUUUGCUUGACAAUGAAAUUAUCAAGCUCAUCUAAACAUUGACCAGGAGGCUUACCAUGAGGGACGUCACUUGCAUUGAAUUCUAAAAGGGUGUGUACCGCUACCAUCGGUGGGUGAGUGGUAGGCUUACAUAAUUGCUCAAUAGGAGGUAGAUUCUUCACAUCUUCAGCUUUAAUACAUCUCUCUUUCAUAGACUUCUUGGCUUCUUGCAUAACUUCUGGACUUCAGAAAAGCAUACCUCUCUUCUUGGGUGAUGGAGGUGGUUCAAGAGCGGACCAAUCAUCAUGAUUCUUAGCUAUCUUGCCCAUUAAUUCUUCGGCACCGCCCGGUGUUCUUUCCCUGAAAACACAACCCGCACAACUAUACAGACAGGUUCUAGGUUCAUCGGUCAGACCAACAUAAAAUAAAUCAAGCAAUUCAUUCUUAGGAAUUCCAUGUACCGGUCAAGCCUUAAGCAAAGUGCAAUACCUCCCCCAAGAUUUAGGGAGGUGCUCAUCCUGCAACUGUUUAAAGUUAUAAAUUCUUUGUAAAGCAGCAUGUUGCUUAUGAGCAGGAAAAUAUUUAGCAACAAAAUAUUGAGCUAAAUCUUGAGGACUCUUAAUGGAACCACAUGGUAGUGCAUCAUACCAUGCUUUAGCUUCCUCCUUCAAAGAGAAAGGAAGUAGCUUUGUAACGUAAUAAGUUCUCUUCUUGUCCUGUGUAGUGAAUAAGCCACCCAACUCAGUGAGUUUGGUAAGGUGUGCAAUAGCAUCGUCAUCUUCUCUGCCAUAGAAGGGGUCAACUUCAACUGUGGAUAUAAGUGAAAGAUCAAGAGAGAAAUCAAAGUCAGCAUCAUUAGUACAAAUAGGAGAUGAAGCUAACUUAGGAUGAGGAGUAAAAUUGUUCUUCAUAGAAUGCUUUUCAAGCAACUUCUUAACAGAAGCAGGGUCAGAGUCAGCACACUCUGUAAGUUCCCUGCAUAAAUCAUCAUCAAGUUCAAUAUAAUCAUCAUCUAGAAUUCUUUCCUUGAUACCACUCAAGUCUGGGUAACCGAAAGAUCUACCAAUGGGGUAGCGUGUAACAGGAAGUUCAAUUCCAGACUACUUAGCAGCCUUAGCAAUCUGAGUCUCAAUAAAAUAACCAAGCAAACCAGGCUCAUCAAUAGUAGUGGAAGUAUCAUCAAAAGUAACAGGCAUAGUAACAGAGUCGGUAGAAGCAUCAUGUGAUGGUGGUGAAGCAAACUUACUCAUAGCCGAAGGUGAAUCAAGCGUAGCACUAGUGCUGAGAACCGUACCUUUUCUAGUAGUGGAUGGUAAAAUUGGAACCUUGGGGUCUCCUUUCUUACCCAUAGUGAAUAAUCCGCAGCAAGCAAAAUAACACCAAGUAGACUUGUAAAUAAAGCUAUGCUCCCCGGCAGCGGCGCCAGAAAAAGGUCUUGAUAACCCACAAGUGUAGGGGACCGCAACAGUCUUCGCGGGUAAGUUAACCCAAUUUAUCGAUUCGACACAAGGGGAGCCAAAGAAUAUUUAUAAGCUUUAACAGUUGAGUUGUCAAUUCAACCGCACCUGAAAGAUACUUGCUUGGCAUUGAAAUAUUAGUAGCAACGGUGAUAUGGAAGUGAUGGUGGCAAUAAAAAUAAUAGUGGCAAAGCAACGAAAGUAAAACUGUGAAAGUAAAGUAACUUGUGACUAGCAGGAUUAAAACACUGUAGGCUAAGGAGAUGGAUGGUUGGUCAUGGAUGAGAGAUAUCAUGUAUUUAACUUGGGGAAAGGCUCAUAGAAAGUAAUGAUCAUCCAGGCAUAUAUCAAACAUUAGGCAUGUAUCCCAAGGUAGUCGUACGUGCUUGCAAUAAGAACUUGCACGACAUCUUUUGUCCUACCAUCCCGCUAUCAAUGGGGCCAAAAGGAACUUAUGGAGCUUAAGGUGCUCCUGUCAAAGAGCACCAAAACAAAGCAUUAAAAAUCAAUGGAUACAUGGAAUCCUCAAACUAUAGCCUCUGCCCUUUGGUGUCCCAAGCUGUCACCAUUGGGAUCACCGGUUCCGGGCUAUAAUAGGUGCAUACUACUCAUACAUAGUAUCUAGAACACAAAUAUAUUCAUGAAAACAUAAUGAAUUCAGAUCUGAAAUCAUGGCACUCGGGCCCAAAGUGACAAGCAUUAAGAGUAACAAGUAGUAGCAAAGGUGAUAAACACCAUAGUAGAUGAUAGGCAACAUGCUCCCAACAAUCCGACGAACUAUUGCAUGAUCUAACUCAUCCAAUCUCUCCCACCCCCUUCACCUACAAUAGGGAAUUACUCACACAUGAUGGGAGAAGCCAUGGAAGGAUGAUGGAGUGGUGAUGGUGAUGACAAUGGCGACGAUUUCCCCUCCCGGGAGGCCAAAACAGACUCCAGAUUAGCUCUCCCGAAGAACAACCAAGGGUGGCGACGGCUCCGCGUCGAGAACUCGCAAAACGACUACUCUUCUGGAAUUUCCUCAUCACGGGUAAAAAUAGGAGCCAAAGUAGGGCAACAAAGGGGGUGGGCCCCGCCCAGGCGGCCUCCCGGCGUGGACUGGGGGCAGGCCGUGCCAGCAGGUCGCCUGGGGGGCUUGUGGCUCCCAUCUGGCCCAUCUUCUGGCCCAUGGUCCCUCCCGGUGCGUGCAUUUUCUCUAUUUUUAUGGGAUUUUUCAGGCGCGUCUAAAUAUUCAUUUUCUUGCACACAAGAAAACCAUACAUGCAGCUCUACUGAAAACAGCGUCAGUCCGGGUUAGUUUCAUUCAAAUCAUGCAAGAAUGAGGCCAAAACAAUAGCAAAAAUGUUUGGAAAAGUUGAUACAUUUGAGAUGUAUCAACGUCUCCAGCCCGCAAGAGAGGAGGCACCGCCGAGCCACCCCCGGGUCGGCUGACGACGACGAGGGGCUAAGAGGAAUGGAAAGCAAGUUGUCCCCGCCAAGCCACCUCCCAAGCAUGCUGCAGGGAACCCUCCAGCCGGAGGUCGUGCAGGCGGUUCGAAGAGGGCCCGAGUCGGCCCAGCCAAGGUCCACGUCGUCACAUGGUGAGUCCAUAUUUUGGUUAUCUCCUUUUUGCCCGUGCCCCCUUCUCUUUUGGAAGAGACCUUGCCCAUUCGUGGCAUCGUGUGUAGGCCCCCUCGAUCCUUGAAGGUAGGAGGGAUCUUCGAGCCAGAUCAGACCGCUUGGGACGAGGCAGACGCGGGGCGGCAGGCGUUGCUUGAGGAAGAGUGCCUCCCAUGGGAGGAGGCGAUCAAGAAGGCCACCGCUGGAUCCAACCGUCGCGGGCUCAGGCCGCGUCGAGGUCCCAGCGUCCGACUCCGAGCUGCAGCCGCCGCCUCGGGAGAGGUGGUCGAAGAAGAGGCACGAUCCUGCGACCUAGAAGCAUGCAAGCACCCGGGCCGGAGAAAGGACGCCCGAGGCGGCAUUCGAAGCACCAGAAACCGAGCAGGCCGAUCUACCGGAACCGCCGCCGGAUGCUUCGAGGUUCAGAAUCUCACCGACAAGGCCAAAGGCUCCUGGUGGUAGAGCCGGUGCCACGGACCAUCUGUCCUCCCCGGUGGGUAGCGAAGUCCUCACCGAUCAACCACCUCACCGGCAUGAAACACCUUCGGAGCCGGCAAGGAGCACACCUCCGGGAGACGACACCUUGGUGGUGUCCACCCGCGCGUCGCCCGCGUCCUGAGCCGGCUCUAGCUCGGGGAGCCGGCCCAUUGAGUCCUACAAUGCGGCCCUUGCAAGCCGCAAGAGCCUGCCCCUUGGCACCAUGCUGAGGGGAGUCCCGGCGCUCGCAGCAGCGUUCAUCCGGAGUCGCGAGCAUGUGGCACAGGCGGCCGAUGUGGCGCAGGAGGACUGAACUGCCUCGAGCAGUGGUUUGAGGUAAAGUCCUUCAUCUUCUUAUGAUUUUGUUGCAAAAUUUGCUCUUUCGAUUUUCUUGCUUCAGUGGGGGGCGUGCUAGCGCACCCACUGGGUGUAGUCCCCGAUAGUCUGGCCGACUAGGAAUUAGCCAGCUCGAGUCUCAUUUGUGGCGGCCAUUCUUUCUUCUUUUUCCAGUGGGGGCGUGCAAGCGCACCCAGUGGGUGUAGCCCCCAAGAGUCAAGCCGGCUAGAAGCCUGCCGGGCCGAGUCUUACUUGAGGCUAACUUUUUUUAUCCCUUGUGAUGUAGGAGCUAUAUGACAGCCGUGCGGACGCCCACAACGCCGUGCUGAGCCGGCUCCACGAGUGUGAGGGCCAACUAGCCGGCCUUCGCAGCCAGCUAGAGCGAGUCGGUCCAGAGCAAGAGGCCUUGCGUGGCGAAGGCGCCCGGCUGCGCCAGGAGGUGGAACUUCUCCAAAAGGAGAAGGAGGACCGCGAGGCAGCCCACCAGGCGGAGUUGGAGCAGCAGCGCGUCGCUCAUCGCGACGCCUUGGAAAAGGUGGGGGAAUCCCACCGCGAUGCCUUGUCGUAGAAGGAUUCAUCUUACGCCGCCGAGCUGGAUCGACCGGAGCAGGCACGCCUCCAGGAGAAGGGGCAUUAUGAUGCGUCUUUGAAGGAGAAGGAUGCCCAGCUGACCAGGGAGGUCGAGGCGUCCAAGGCCGCAUGUGUUGAGCUUGCUUGCCGGACUCGUGAGCACGAGGUCCGGGACCGAGAGCUCGACGAAGAGGCGGGCGAGGUCGACAUCCUCCUCUCAAGUGAGUUCUCCCCCUUCUGCUUUGUUCUUAUUGUCUUCCCUUUUCCUUUGCGCCGUGUGCUGACCCUCGCCUCCCAGAUCUAUUUUCGUGGACGAGAGAGGCGGCCGAAGCAGCCGUGGAGACCCAUCGCGAGGAGCAACAGGCGAAUGGCGUCGAGGUGCGGGAUGACGCCAGCUGGAGCGUGGUGGAGGUGGCGGUCGCCGCUAAAGCUCGUAUACACAAGCCGGGGCAGGCCACGAGCCGUCUUCAGAAGGCCGGCCUGGCGAUGGUCGAGGCCCUCUGGCUAGACGCGGUGGAGCCAGCGUCGAUGAGCCUGCUAGCCCGUUGGCUCGAGGCAGGGAGCUCCCGCUUGGAUGCUUGGCGUGCCUCGACAGCGCAUGUCGGCUCAUAUAUGGUACUCCAGCUUGCCAGGUCAUGGUACCGUGGCUUUGACCUGAGCCUGCUUACAGCUCAGCACAAGGGCACAGAGGAGGAGCUGGCUGCUACCGAGGACGAGCUGUAGGUGCGGGCCACCGACAUCGCCUCGUUGCCGCGUGGAAUGAGUACUCUAUGGAGCGCAGGGCUGGCGGAGUUGUGGUCCUAGCGGACAAAUUCCAGUUGGCCCUCAAUGAUCCCGACGAUAGCUCUGAUGAGACGGGCCUUGAGGAUGCUGAGUCCAGUGGUGAAGCCUACGACGACUCCACCGCAGGAGGUGGCUCCAUUGUGAAGGGUGGCGCUGGAGACGCCACAACGGAUGACGAGGCAUCCACCUCAACUGCCCCAGGCAGUGCCGGGCCCGAUGGUGAAGCCGCCACCACUUGAAGCUUUUUAUUUUUCCUGCAUUUUUUAGUUAGCUCUGCAGUUCCACCCACUAGGAGGGGUGUAAUGUAAUGAACCUUGGCCAUGGGCCUCCAUAUAUUUUGUAUAAUAUAUGCUUGUUUGCCUAAAAUUGUGCCUGAGAAGGCUGUGCUUACCGACUCACUUUUCAGUCCCUUUGCCCUCUUAGCUUCAUUUACCCCAAAGAUUUGGCCUUGUCCAGCUUCCGCCUUGCCAGCCCGACAGCCGGGAGCCGGUCUAUGACUGGGUCGAGGCUUCUUCCUUCCAGGGUGUAUGCCUUAAGUUUUUUGAAGCUACGAGGAUGUUAAGACUUAGAGCGAGUUGACAGAGGCCGGCUAGAACAAGGAAUAAAUAUGGGAAGCGAUCAGAGGAGCCCGAGCUGGCCCUUUGUAGCCGAACCUUUCACGCAACCGGCCUUCCUAUCCAGAGGCCCGCUAGCCGGACAGCCUGGAGCCGGUCUAUAGCUUCCACAGGAUGGAUAAGGUUUAGCUCAGCGUGCUCUAUGUGUUUGACGGCGAAUGAGAUAUGGACCCGGACCGGCCAGCGAGCCCCCGGGUGCGAGGAGUCGUCCCAGGGGACUUGCUCUUUGAAGCAGCAGUCCUUUGAUGAAUCGAAAAAGGGGCAUGUCUCAAGCAACGGCUUGAGACACGCAUUGCAUUGAUUGAAAUCCCUAAAGGGUAAAAGAUACAUACGUACACAUUUUGUUUCUUUGGUUCUAGCAGUAGAACGGGCAAAGCAAUGCCGCGUUCCAAGGACGCUCCGUCUCUUCGCCGGAGGCAUCUCUCUUGUGCUUCUGCGGCUUCUGUGCGUCUAUCAGGUAGUACGCAUUGUUGUGCAGCGCCCUGCUGAUGAUGAAGGAUCCCUCCCGUGGGGAGGAAAUCUUGUGCUGGUCGGCCGUUUGUUGGAUUCUUCUGAGCACUAGGUCCGCCUCGCGAAAAGAGAGGGGCCCGAUCCUCUUACUGUGGUAGUGCCUCAGCUUCUGCUGGUAGAUGGCCGACUGGCUCGGGUCCAGUUCCCAUGCCUCCUCGAUUAGAUCGACUCCGUCUUGUCUUGCCUCCGUUGCCUCUACCUUCGUGUACACGGUCACCCCAGGUGAUUCGAACUCAACAUCCGUGGGGAUGACCGCCUCGGACCUAUAGACGAGGAAGAAUGGCGUGAAUCUAGUGGACCGGUUUGGUGUGGUGCGGAGGCUCCACAUCACAACCGGAAACUCUUCGAUCCAGCAGUCGGCCGACCUGACGAGCGACACCACCAGUCUUGGCUUGAUGCCGGCUAGAAUCAGACUAUUUGCCCUCUCCACCUGGUCGUUCGACUGUGGGUGGGCAACCGAUUCUAGGUCGAGCCGGAUGCUUUCCUUGGCCCAAAAGAGUGCCAUUGCACCUUUGGCGAAGUUAGUACUGUUGUCGGUGAUGAUGGUGUGAGGGACGCCAUAAUGGACUAUGAUGUCCUUGAUCAACGUGACAGUCAUGGGACCGUCAAGCUUCAUGAUUGGCAUGACUAUAAUCCAUUUGCUGAACUUGUCGACGGCUACCAGGAGAUGAGUCAUGCCGCCGCGAACUGUCUUGAAAGGCCUCACCAUGUCGAGCCCCCAGAUAGUGAAAGGCCAUGAGAGGGGGACGGUCUUGAGUGCCGUAGCCGAAAAGUGGUUUUGCACACUGAAACGUUGGUACCCUUCACACUUGUCGACCAACGACGUGGCCUCCUUCAGGGCAGUGGGCCAGCAAAAUCCGUGGCAGAACGCCUUGGCCACCAGGGUUCUAGAGGUGGCAUGAUGCCCGCACUCGCCCUGAUGUAUGUCUUUGAGGAUCUCCUGCCCCUUCUCCGGCUCGACACAACGCUGGAAUACACCGGUUGCGGUGCGCCGAACCAGCUCGUGGUUCAUGAUGGCGUAGGCAAGAUACCGGCGCUGAAUCUGUCAUGCCUCAGCCUCGUCACGAGACAGCUCACCAUGCAAGAGGAAAGCUAGGAUGGGCUGCGUCCAUGUAGGAGCCUUCACGACAUCCGGUUCCGGCUCGACAUGAGUACCGGGAAGAGCCGAAGCCCUCGGGUCUGUCGUUGUAGCCCACGAGACGGAACUGUAUGGCGCUGAAACCGGCUCGGCAUCUGACAUACCGUCAACAUCCAUGACGGACACCGGCUUGGAUUCAAGUUGACUGCGCCCGGGUUGUCUCGCACCGGGCGACGUUUGUGGAGCCGGCGGGGCAGCUGGAGUCGGCGAAGUGGUUGGAGCCGACGGAGCCUCUGGAGCUGACGUGGUCGGGCCAGAGGAGUCCGCGGGCACGAAGAUCGACGUUGAUUUUGGAGAUGGCUUGAUGGAUGGCUUGAAAAGGUGCUCGAGGGAGAAGCCAACCGGGAUUGCUUGCCUGGUGGAGCCGAUUAUUGCCAAGGUAUCGACCGCCUCGUUGUCCGCUCGGGGGACAUGAUGGAAUUCGCAGCCCUCGAAAGGGCCGCUCAGCUCCUGCAUGAGGAAGCAGUAGCUGGCCAUGUUGGCAUCCCUGGCUUCCCAUUUGUCGAAGACUUGCUGGACCACGAGGUCGGAGUCACCGAAGCAGAUAAUCCUCUGGAUGCCAAUCUCCUUGGCAAGCCGGAGGCUGUGUGUGAGCACUUCGUACUCGGCGAUGUUGUUGGAGGCGGCGAAGUGGAUCUACAGAGCAUAUUUGAGCUGGUUCCCUUUCAGGGACGACAGGACAAUGCCGGCCCCCAGCCCAGUUCGCAUCUUGGAGCCGUCAAAGUGCAUCCGCAAAUGAGUGGAGUCGGGAGGCAGCGGCAAAAACUGGGCCUCAGCCCAAUUGACAAGGAAGUCGUGGUGGAUGUCGUGGUCGACCAUCUGAUGGACCACUUGGCGAUCCGGCCGGUGGCAUCACGGUUGCCCAUGAUUUGUGAAAGUGGAUCCUUGCUCACGACUGUGAUGGUGUGCUCUGAUGACCCACAAGUAUAGGGGAUCAAUCGUAGUCCUUUCUAUAAGUAAGAGUGUUGAACCCAACGAGGAGCAGAAGGAUCUGACAAGUGGUUUUCAGCAAGGAAAUAUAUCUGCAAGCACUAAAAUUGUCGGCAACAAGUGAUUGUGUGGUGAGAUGAUUCGUAGCAAGCAACAAGUAACAAAAGUAGAAACUGUGCAGCAAAGUGUCCCAAUCCCUUUUGUAGCAAGGGACAAGCCUGGACAAAGGCUUAUAGGAGGAAAAACACUCCCGAGGACACACGGGAAUUUCUGUCAUGCUAGUUUCAUCAUGUUCAUAUGAUUCGCGUUCGUUACUUUGAUAGUUUGAUAUGUGGGUGGACCGGCGCUUGGGUACUUCCCUUACUUGGACACGCAUCCCACUUAUGAUUAACCCCUCUCGCAAGCAUCCGCAACUACGAAAGAAGAAUUAAGACAAAGUCUAGCCAUAGCAUUAAACUAGUGGAUCCAAAUCAGCCCCUUACAAAGUAACGCAUAAACUAGGGUUUAAGCUUCUGUCACUCUAGCAACCCAUCAUCUACUUACUACUUCCCAAUGCCUUCCUCUAGGCCCAAAUAAUGGUGAAGUGUUAUGUGGUCGACGUUCACAUAACACCACUAGAGGAAAAACAACAUACAACCACUACAGGAAUCAACUUCUUUCCCGUCUGCCAUCACAGACGGCAAAGACUAAAUUCCGGACGGCAAAGACAAAACAGCAGACGACAAAGAAUCUCACGGCCGGAAAAAUUUCUGCGUUAGCCUACGACGGCAUAGGACCUUCUUUGCCGUUUGUCCCCCAAAGUGGACGGCAAAGCUCUUUGCCGUCAGCUUUCCUUUGGAGCAGUCCGCAAAGUGCUCGAGACGGCAGCCGACAGGCGUUGCCUCCGUUAGGGGUUAACUAAGGCUUUGCCGUCUGCCUCCCCCUUAAUCUUUGCCGUCUGCCUCCCCCUUUAUCUUUGCCGUCUGCCUCCUCCUCCUCCCCCCUCCACUCUUUGCCGUCGGCCUCCCCCUUUAUCUUUGCCGUCUGCCUCCUCCUCCUCCCCCCUCCACUCUUUGCCAUCUGCCUCCUCCUCCCCCCUCCUCUGUGCCCUCUUCUUUGCUGUCUUCCCACCCUGGAGGCAGACGACAAAGAGCCUAUAUAGACACCCCAGGAUGCACAGCUGGGUGCCAUGUGGCACCUUUGCCAUCUGCCAGCUGAUGGCACAGGUCUUUGCCAUCAGCUGGCGGACGACAAAGAGCCCAUAUAGUACCUGUUUUUUUGUUUUAUAUUAUUUCACAGCACACACACCCCCACAUUUAUAUAAUUCACCACACAUAUACUUGCCAACACAUAUAUAUAUAAUUCACCACACAUAUAUGAUAUACAUAUAAAUCAAUGUACAUCCCCAUAUAUCGAAAGAACCAACAUACAAAGUAUUGCAGUGUUUAUCCAUAUCUACAUAUACAUAUAGUUCGACAUUGUUCAUCAACUCAAAUGAAAACUAGAUGAUAUACAUAUAAAGUUCAUCCAUCAACAUUGUUCAACUCCAUGAAUGCCAGCUUCCAUGCAUGUAGUAUAUCCAAUCUGGAAAAAUGUGAACAAGAAAGUCAGAAGAAGAACAAAAUAUGAUGUUUUUCAGCUAAUUAUGUCAUUUUUAGCGGAAAAUAAGCUAAGAGUAUAAUAUUCAUGAGCUAACCAAGGUUCUUAUGCCAUUUUUAGCUUAUUAUGGCAUUUUGGAGCUAAAUGGGUUAAUUAAAGCAAGGAUAAUAUGAAAGAGGAGAAGAAAGAGGAGGGNNNNNNNNNNNNNNNNNNNNNNNNNNNNNNNNNNNNNNNNNNNNNNNNNNNNNNNNNNNNNNNNNNNNNNNNNNNNNNNNUAAUAUUCAUGAGCUAACCAAGGUUCUUAUGCCAUUUUGAGCUUAUUAUGGUAUUUUGGAGCUAAAUGGGCUAAUUAUCCCAUAUUAGAUGAAAACAAGCUAAGUAUGUAAUAUUCAUGAGCUAACCAAGGUUCUUAUGCCAUUUUGAGCUUAUUAUGGUAUUUUGGAGCUAAAUGGGCUAAUUAUGUCAUUGUUGGGGAAAUUAAAGCAAGGAUAAUAUGAAAGAGGAGAAUAAAGAGGAGGAGGAGGAGAAUAAGAAGAAAUCAAGAAGAAGGAGGAGAAGGACUGUCUCUUAUACACAUCUCUGAGCGGGCUGGCAAGGCNUAGAGGAAAACAAGCUAAGUAUAUAAUAUUCAUGAGCUAACCAAGGAUCUUAUGCCAUUUUGAGCUUAUUAUGAUAUUUGGGAGCUAAAUGGGCUAAUUAUGUCAUUGUUGGGGAAAUUAAAGCAAGGAUAAUAUGAAAGAGGAGAAGAAAGAGGAGGAGGAGGAGAAUAAGAAGAAAUCAAGAAGAAGGAGGAGAAGGACUGUCUCUUAUACACAUCUCUGAGCGGGCUGGCAAGGCNNNNNNUAAUAUUCAUGAGCUAACCAAGGUUCUUAUGCCAUUUUGAGCUUAUUAUGGUAUUUUUGAGCUAAAUGGGCUAAUUAUGUCAUUGUUGGGGAAAUUAAAGCAAGGAUAAUAUGAAAGAGGAUAAUAAAUAGGAGGAGUAGGAGAAGAAGAAGAAAUCAAGAAGGAGGAGAAGGGGGAGAAGGNAGCGCGUUGAUUGUUCAUUUGGAGUUGCUUCUUCUUCUUCUUUCUUUUCAUUUUGCCUAUUUCUUCUCCUCUUCUCCUCUUGUUGGGGCUAAAUUACCUAAUUAUGUCUUCUUGGAGCUAAAUGGGUUAAUUAUCCCAUUUUAGAGAAAACAAGCUAACUAUAUAAUAUUCAUGAGCUAACCAAGGUUCUUAUGCCAUUUUGAGCUUAUUAUGGUAUUUUGGAGCUAAAUGGGCUAAUUAUGUCAUUGUUGGNNNNNNNNNNNNNNNNNNNNNNNNNNNNNNNNNNNNNNNNNNNNNNNNNNNNNNNNNNNNNNNNNNNNNNNNNNNNNNNNNNNNNNNNNNNNNNNNNNNNNNNNNNNNNNNNNNNNNNNNNNNNNNNNNNNNNNNNNNNNNNNNNNNNNNNNNNNNNNNNNNNNNNNNNNNNNNNNNNNNNNNNNNNNNNNNNNNNNNNNNNNNNNNNNNNNNNNNNNNNNNNNNNNNNNNNNNNNNNNNNNNNNNNNNNNNNNNNNNNNNNNNNNNNNNNNNNNNNNNNNNNNNNNNNNNNNNNNNNNNNNNNNNNNNNNNNNNNNNNNNNNNNNNNNNNNNNNNNNNNNNNNNNNNNNNNNNNNNNNNNNNNNNNNNNNNNNNNNNNNNNNNNNNNNNNNNNNNNNNNNNNNNNNNNNNNNNNNNNNNNNNNNNNNNNNNNNNNNNNNNNNNNNNNNNNNNNNNNNNNNNNNNNNNNNNNNNNNNNNNNNNNNNNNNNNNNNNNNNNNNNNNNNNNNNNNNNNNNNNNNNNNNNNNNNNNNNNNNNNNNNNNNNNNNNNNNNNNNNNNNNNNNNNNNNNNNNNNNNNNNNNNNNNNNNNNNNNNNNNNNNNNNNNNNNNNNNNNNNNNNNNNNNNNNNNNNNNNNNNNNNNNNNNNNNNNNNNNNNNNNNNNNNNNNNNNNNNNNNNNNNNNNNNNNNNNNNNNNNNNNNNNNNNNNNNNNNNNNNNNNNNNNNNNNNNNNNNNNNNNNNNNNNNNNNNNNNNNNNNNNNNNNNNNNNNNNNNNNNNNNNNNNNNNNNNNNNNNNNNNNNNNNNNNNNNNNNNNNNNNNNNNNNNNNNNNNNNNNNNNNNNNNNNNNNNNNNNNNNNNNNNNNNNNNNNNNNNNNNNNNNNNNNNNNNNNNNNNNNNNNNNNNNNNNNNNNNNNNNNNNNNNNNNNNNNNNNNNNNNNNNNNNNNNNNNNNNNNNNNNNNNNNNNNNNNNNNNNNNNNNNNNNNNNNNNNNNNNNNNNNNNNNNNNNNNNNNNNNNNNNNNNNNNNNNNNNNNNNNNNNNNNNNNNNNNNNNNNNNNNNNNNNNNNNNNNNNNNNNNNNNNNNNNNNNNNNNNNNNNNNNNNNNNNNNNNNNNNNNNNNNNNNNNNNNNNNNNNNNNNNNNNNNNNNNNNNNNNNNNNNNNNNNNNNNNNNNNNNNNNNNNNNNNNNNNNNNNNNNNNNNNNNNNNNNNNNNNNNNNNNNNNNNNNNNNNNNNNNNNNNNNNNNNNNNNNNNNNNNNNNNNNNNNNNNNNNNNNNNNNNNNNNNNNNNNNNNNNNNUUCUUCUUCUUCUACUUUUUCUUAUUUUCUUCUACUAAAUAGGAAACUAACCUAAGACUAAACAUAAUCGUAAACUAAACUAAAACUGAACCUAAGCCAAAACAAACCUAAAACCUAUAACUAAUUAUACAAAACUAUUACAAAAAAAGCUAAAAAAACUGACCUCCAUCCGGUGGCCCAGGGAGGAGAGGCGCGGGGAGGAGGGCCGCAGGGGGGAGGGUCCCGAGGAGGGCAUGGGGAGAAGGGGCCGCAGGGGGGAGGGGCGUGAGGAGGAGAGGCGCGGGGAGGAGGCCCGCAGGGNACGUUAGGGGUCCAUCCCCUUUGCCGUGUGCCGCGGACGGCAAAGUUAGUUAGGCAGACGGCAAAGGGGUGGGUGGGGCGGGGUGGGGUGGGGCGGCGGUGCUGGGGUGUUGCGGCGGCGCUGGGGUGGGGUGGCGUUAGCGGCGCUGGGGGGUGGAGGUUGCGGUGGAGAGAGAGGGGAGAGAUAGUGGGGGAGCGCGUGGGUAGGACGACCGUUAACGUUAGGGGUCCAUCCCCUUUGCCGUGUGCCGCGGACGGCAAAGUUAGUUAGGCAGACGGCAAAGGGGUGGGUGGGGCGGGGUGGGGUGGGGAGAGAGGAGAGGUGGGGUGGGAUAGGUUUGCCGUCUGCCUUCACUACCUUUGCCAUCUGUUGACGGACGGCAAAGCCCUGGGCGAUGGCAAAUAUUCUUUUUACCAUCAGUGAGCCCUUUACCGUCCGCUUUAUGCCAGCUGACGGCAAAGAGGGUCUUUGCCAUCAGCCAGCAGACGGCAAAGCCCUAGCUGAUGGCAAAUUAUUGUUUUCCAGUAGUGAACACAUCAAAAUAUCGAACGAAUACCAAAUUCACAUGACUACUAUUAGCAUGACUUAUCCCAUGUCCUCAGGAACAAAAGUAACUACUCACAAAGCAUAAUCACAGUCAUGACCAGAGAGGUAAUGAGUAGCAUCAAGGAUCUGAACAUAAACUCUUCCACCAAAUAAUCCAACUAGCAUCAACUACAAAGAGAGGUAAUAACACUACUAGCAAGCUUACAAGUACCAAUCGGAGUCGCGAGACGGAGAUCGGUUACAAGAGAUGAACUAGGGUUUGGAGAUGAGAUGGUGUUGAUGAAGAUGUUUAUGGUUGUGGGGACCCCGACUAGCAAGUCGAGUUCGCCGUGCCCAGUGACCCCAAGGAUCAAUGUUCACUGAACACAGAUACUGAAUAAUAGAGUCUUACAUCCAAGUACCGAAAUUAUUACAUCGAACGACCAGAAGGUCGGGUUCAAGAGCGGGGCCUAAAGCCAAAUAAACAAAUACAUCGAGUCCCAUGCCAUCAAGCCUACACCGACAGGCAUUCUGACUUGGAAGCGUCCUAGAUCGCAGCUUCGUCUCCGACGGCGUACUCGUCGCCAAACUCCGGUCCUUCCAUGUCUGGUCAAUAAUAUAACCAGUGGCAAGCCAAUGAGUACUUUGAAUGUACUCGCAAACAGCCCAUGAUAUGAACAUUGAUAACGAAGAAAAAUAAUAACAAGUAUCUAUGGUGGAAUGCAAUUUCGUGGAAUGAUCAGGUAUAUGCAACAAGUUAAAGAAUUACUCUUGAAGAACAGGUUACAGAUAUCGACAUAUCUGCUAAGGGUUGAACACACCGGGUUCACCCUAUAUGCCAAGUCAUCGGACUUGUCACAACCUCAAUGUAUUAAUGAGGGCUAAACCAUCCGGGUUUACCCUAUAUGCCAAGUCACCGAACUUGGUCAUAUUAUUACUCUCAAAACAACACCUUUUUAACACCACACACACACUCACACUUGGUUUAUGCGGAAAUGCUGGACGUAGUUUAAGCAGCACCACCCAACUGUCCUUGACCGUGGACACGGCUAUUCGAACAGUUUACACUCUGCAGAGGUAGUACGCUGGAUCCACGAGAAACGGGAAAAUUCCGUGUCAUCCACGACUCGCGGUAUAUCACAUAUACCCGAGGUAAGUACCCGACCAUCAUCUUUCCCCUGACGAUACUAGACAAAGAGGUCCACUCGAUUGGUACCCAGCCCACAUGUUGUACGUCUUACGAGCACCGACUCUGGACAGUAUCAACCAUGCGGGGACCAACGGUGUGCCUGGAACUCAUAAUAAUGGCAUAGUCGUCCUACCUGACACGACCCCAUCACGAGAGUGACACCGAUCACUCCCGCAACUAGUAAUGUGGCUCUUUGCUAGUACCGACCAGAGUAAUCAACAAAGCCCCGUCCCAUAAAGGGGUAUCGUGGUCGUACUGAUAAGGUUGGGAUGGUCGACACAUCAAAAAUCUAAUCCCAUUUCCGAAACCAUACUCACACAAAAACACCGGUGCAUCACUUCACCAAAAGUGAUCACCAACUCAUCAUCACCCUCGGGCAUUAGUGGCACCCGACGGGGUUUUCAUAAACUCUUUAUUUAACUCAUCAUCGUGCUCAUGAUAAUAUACUCUAUCUUUACUUGUCAACAUGGUAAUAACAUGACCGUCAAGGGGUAGGGUCAAGCUCAAUGCCAUGAUCUUACUCUACUAGUCAACAUGACAGUAGCAUGAUCCUCAUAAGUGGUAGGGUCAAGCUCAUCAUGUUUGUGCUCUGAGGAGCCACAUUUAUAACAUCAUCAACAUGCAAGGGCUUUGAAAAAGCCUCCGGUGCCAUCACCACAAUGAUGAACCAGCAUCGUGAUCACAUGCAACGAGAAAAUACCAACUAUACUAGCAUGCAACAAUGUUUGUGCUCAAGUCAUGGUCAAAGGGCUGCUUGCCUUGGUCAGCUAGGUUUCCGAGGUCUUCGAGGUCUUCCGCUCCGGAUCCUUCUAUAGNNNNNNNNNNNNNNNNNNNNNNNNNNNNNNNNNNNNNNNNNNNNNNNNNNNNNNNNNNNNNNNNNNNNNNNNNNNNNNNNNNNNNNNNNNNNNNNNNNNNCAUGGAGAUUCUUGCUAUCAUCCCCGAUUGGACUGUGUCGUUCAUUGCAUACAUCCUGAGGCAAGAAUUACCAGAAGACGAAGUCCAAGCCAGACAGAUCGUCCGCAGGUCAAAGUCGUUCACCGUCAUUGAUGGCCAGCUGUACAAGGAAAGCGUUUCAGGCGUCCUUCAACGAUGCAUCUCCCGUGAGGAGGGACAGUUAAUCCUGGAAGAAAUUCACUCGGGAACCUGCGGUCAUCAUGCCUCCUCAAGGGCAAUCGUCGCCAAAGCAUUCAGAGUUGGCUUCUUCUGGUUGCAGGCGAACGAAAUGGCGAAGGAUAUGGUCGACUGAUGCGAAGGCUGUCAGUUCUACUCGAACAAGUCCCACAAGCCAACAUCUGCAUUGAAGACAAUCCCUCUUGUUUGGCCGUUUGCAGUGUGGGGAUUAGAUACAGUCGGUCCAUUCAAGACAGGCCAAGGGGGAUUCACACAUCUGUUGGUGGCAGUCGACAAGUUCACAAAGUGGAUUGAAGCCAAGCUCAUCAAGAAGCUCGACGCCCUUACGGCCAUCAAGUUUGUCAGGGACAUCAUCUCCAGAUUCGGGGUACCACACAGCAUAAUCACUAACAAUGGCACAAACUGUGAAUCGGACAGAUUCAAAGGUUUCUGUACAGGCCAAGGUAUCCGAGUGGAUUUUGCAUCUGUGGCGCAUCCCCAAACAAACGGGCAAGUAGAGCGGGCGAAUGGACUUAUUCUUCAAGGGAUGAAACCUCGACUCUUGCGAGAAGUGGGACAUGCUGUCGGCGCAUGGGUCACUGAGCUACCUUCGGUGUUGUGGGGUCUCCGCACAACCCCAAAUAGAUCUACAGGGCGAUCCCCGUUCUUCCUCGUUUACGGAGCAGAGGCGGUCCUUCCGACUGACUUGCUUCACAAUGCUCCACGAGUUGAACUCUUCUCCGAGGCCGAAGCAGAGCAAGCAAGGCAAGACGGAGUGGAUCUUCUAGAAGAGGAGCACGAGAUGGCACUGACUCGCUCAACCAUUUAUCAACAAGAUCUGCGGCAUUUUCACGCGCGACAUGUCAGGAGUCGUACAUUCCAAGCAGGCGACCUGAUGCUCCGAGUGGAUCAGCAGAGACCUCACAAGUUGGCUCCCGCCUGGGAAGGACCCUUCAUCAUCUCCAAGGUGCUGAACAACGGAGCAUAUCGACUCUACAACCUCGACAGGGAAACGGACAAGCCGCGAGCAUGGAACGGAGAUCUCCUGAAGCGCUUCUACACGUGACCGUCGACUGAAGCAAUGUAAAGAACAAGUAUCGUUGAAGUAAUACAAAGCAGAUUGAGCUUUUGCAGAAUCAAAAUUCUUCCGCGUUCGUAGACUCCGGUCUCAAAAAANNNNNNNNNNNNNNNNNNNNNNNNNNNNNNNNNNNNNNNNNNNNNNNNNNNNNNNNNNNNNNNNNNNNNNNNNNNNNNNNNNNNNNNNNNNNNNNNNNNNCCCCCCCCCAUUUAUAAGAAUUUAUCGAGCGAUCACGCAAGAUCUAUUGACGCAAAGAAAUGAAGUGAUAAGUCCGAGUGGAUUGCGUUUGGAGGCGGGAGCCCCAUAACACACACGCACACACAGAUGAGAAUCGUAUCCGAGCCGCUCCAUACACCCCGUUUGCGUCGGAAUCCUCCUCCCGGGAGGACGUGUCUAUCUAUCAAUCUAUCUAUAUCGAGAUACCAGUAAUCUGAAAUCAUGGGAAAACAGCCCGUGUGCGCCCCUCGCCCUCCCUAAUGAUCGACCCAUGCGUGCAGGCGGGGCAGUGGUUGGGCAUUAAACAAGUGAGGACGAGGAGGAAGGUCGCCUCGCUCGCUCAAGUGGGAUGGCAGCCGGCGAGCCGCUAGGUCCCCCCGUAACUGAAAACAUUGGCUCCGCUGGGAUCGGCGGACCUACGGACGGAGCACUCGAGUGGGUAUAAAUGGGCAGCCGGGCUCGUAUCGUAUCCUCCGCCAUGAUGGCGCGGAAAGAUACUCGCAGCUCGCAGGCAGCCGCGCCGCGCCGCGCAGCAGGAAACGAACCCCGCGGCGCCCGUGCGCGCACGCCGGCCAGCCGUCUGGCUGGCUCGCCGCUUUCCACACGCUUCUUUUCAUUAAAUAAAGAUUAAAGAAUCUUGUAGCGGACUCGCGCGGCCUCUCCAAUUGGAUGGAAUACUAAUUCUUUUCGAUUUGGAUCACGUCGCUGUUGAGAAAGGUCACGGGUAACAACAAGCCGUAAUUACACGGCUCAAGUGAACAAAUCUUUGUGAUUAGGGAGGGAGAGAUGGUUGAUUGAUAUAUACUACUACUAGUACUAGUGCAUCUGUGAUCCGUUCAAUGCCCGCUCUGACCAUCGCCGCCACGGCACACCGGUCGGCCAUGCUCGCCGCUUGCUUGUUUAUUCCUCGCAGCUCGCGUCCGGUCAGUAAACAAAGUUCUACUCCUGGCCAUAUUACCUGCCGCGGCUUAGUUAAUCAGGAAAGGUGGUGGUAUGUUACGUAGAGUACUAGGAGUAAAAAAACAAGAGAGCAGCUAGAGCUAGCCCUCAAGGUCGUCGUGGGCGUGUCGGGAGCCAUCAACCAGGGGCCUCUUCCUCCGUGACCCUGCCGCCCCGGAGGACGGAGGUGGCUGUCUGUUCUGCCUCUCGGCGUGCGUGUGCGUGUGCGUGCGUGUGUCACUGCCGCAGCGCAAUAAAUAAGCAGCCCUCCGUUCCCGACCUCGCUCGUCUGCCUCCUCUCGCCUCGUCCAUGGGAUGACGGGGCCGCCUUGACUUUUCGUGCCCAUGUUGAGUUUGAGUGCCGCAUCUGCAACUCCCGGCUCCUCCUGAGACAAGCAAGCAACAAGAAAGAAUCCUUCCUCCUGCACCCGGCGCCGGCGACCUCUUGCGGCGUGUUUCUUGCUGGCUGGCUGGCUGGCAUUGGUAGCGGGCGAUGGGGAACUGCGCGGCGAGAGGGGACACGGCGGUCNGAAGAGGCGGCGGGGGAGGUGGAAGGCGCCGCGGGAGGACCAGCUGGGGACGGUCCCCGGGCGGAUCUUCUCCAACGACGGCCGCAGCCGCACAGCCUCCGUCUUCACGCAGCAGGGCCGCAAGGGGAUCAACCAGGACGCCAUGCUCAUCUGGGAUGUAAGCUACUAACCAACAGCCCGAGAAUCACUCCCCCUCCAUCUCUCCCCUCCCUCCUUCCCAUUUCGAGGCGAUUAGAUUGAUCCGGCCGAUGUGGUCCAAUGGACAUGGUGGCAGGGGUUCGGCGGGGAGGAGGACGGCGUGCUGUGCGGGGUGUUCGACGGCCACGGGCCGCACGGCCACCUGGUGGCGCGCAGGGUGCGGGACUCGCUGCCGCUCAGGCUCAUGUCCGCCGCGCGCGCCUCGCCCAAGACCGGGCUGGACAUGCCGGCCACCGCCUGGAGGAAGGCCUUCACGCGCGCCUACAAGGCCAUGGACAAGGACCUGCGCUCCCACCCCUCGCUCGACAGCUUCUGCAGCGGCAGCACCGCCGUCACCGUCCUCAAGCUCGUACGUCCGGACAUUCACAUUCACAUACUCUUCUGCG
RNAcentral lists this long non-coding RNA (73572 nucleotides) under Hordeum vulgare. RNAcentral describes it as "long non-coding RNA (HVUL_LNC003530)". The stretch from base 2923 to 3046 matches the Rfam family "MIR1120/MIR1122 microRNA precursor family". Lineage: Eukaryota; Viridiplantae; Streptophyta; Magnoliopsida; Poales; Poaceae. The record is from RNAcentral.